GGCGUUCUCGCAGUGUGCGAACAACUGCUACACAGUUUGCACCGCCGGGACCAUCGCGCCUUGCGCUUGAAGAUGCAUUUGUGUUCCUACUUCCACAUUAUUGUUACUGGUGAGUGUGUGCAAGCAGGCCUGCCGUCCACGGGAGGAGGCACGCAAGCACGCAUGAUAAGCCACUGUCGUUUUUCCACUUUAUCAUUUACUUAUUGAAGGCAAUGUACGAUGCCUAGCUCCUGUGUGGUUGAGCAUGUCGUCUUGGAAUUUUGUCCAAAGUUUAACAUACCAUGUUGUAUUGUUGUGUAUGCGUAUCAAUAUAAUUUAUCAACUAUUUUUCGUUUACCAUAGACAUUUCUAGUUUAUUUGCAAGGGUUAGGGAAAUUUGUCCUUGAUAGUGUAUUAACCGCAUCUGCCAACUGAACAGAUCAACUUUCUCAACAGCCUAUCUCCUACUUGAAAAAUAUUCGCUUUAGAAAAGGUUUGUUUCUUUUCUGUGUAGCUGUAGCCACCGUGAGGGUUACAAAACUCGGCGCAAGGGUUCCAAGCUGUGGCACCACAAACCACAUAAGCUGUGGCACAAGGGUUCUAGCUGGGUGGUCACAAACAACUAUUUCAUCCCGGAUGUCUUCCAUGCCCAUGGACCUCACUACGGGAAACAGAACCUUUGCCGAGUGCCCCAGGCACUCGGCAAAGGCAUAAAAACACUCGGCAAAGCCUUUGCCGAGUGUAACACUCGGCAAAGAGCACACGGCAAAUGUUGUGUCGGCAAAGCAUAGUUCGCCGAGUGUCAAAACUCGGACACUCGGCAAACUUGUCACCGACGGCCAAAAAACACUCGGCGAAAAGAUGUACUCGGCGAAUUGCGGACUGACGGCGUCGGGUAACGGCGGGUUUGCCGAGUGCCAAACGGGAGGCACUCGGCAAACACCGGGUCUUUGCUGAGUGCCAACACUCGGCAAAGACCAGGAGUUUGCCGAGUGCCACGCGCCUGGCACUCAGCAAACACGGUCCCUUUGCCGAGUGCCGGCUCCCGGGCACUCGGCAAAGCCGGCUCCCUUUGCCAAGUGCCCUGACAUUAGCACUCGGCAAACCGGCCCCCUUUGCCGAGUGCCUUGACCAGAGCACUCGGCAAAGGACCUUUCCUACACCUGGGAAAUGCCCCUUUGCCGAGUGCUAUGGUCAAUGCACUCGGCAAAGGACCCUCUUUGCCGAGUGUUACACUCGGCAAAGUGACCAGAACCGCCCUUUUUUCGAUAUUUUGCCAUGUAUAACGGACCCCUCUCAAUUCACAAUACACAUAUCACAGGCAUUUGUAAUAAACAACCACAUGGAUAAUUCACAACCACAGGCAUAAUUCAUAAACACCACAGGCAUAGUUCAACAUAAGCACGAAAUAAUCCAUAAAACCAAGUUCUUCUCACAAUUUAGUUUCCACAUUGUUCACAAUCAAGUCUACUUCCGUGGAGGCCAAGGAGACCACUGCGACAAAUCUUGAUCUUCAUUAUUCAAAGCCGCCGAUUGAUUCUGCACAUAGGAUAGGACAUUCUGAGGUAACAUCUAAAGUUGUCAAAUUUAAACUAUUGAAACUUAAGCACAAUGUGUCAAGUGACUCACAGGAGUAGUCGUGGGUGGCUGAGGCGGAGGGAACAUCAUCGGCGGUGGCGGAGGCAAAGACUGUCCCAUGCUCGUAGCAAAGUUCUGCAUGUACUGGAACAUCUGCUCCAUCCUAAUCCGGUUUUCCUCCUCCAUCCUCCGCCGCAUUUCCUCCAUCUGCGACUUAAUCUCCUCUUGUGCCUUCCUUGAUUCUUCCACCUGGGCCUACAAUAUUUCAUUGCAAUGUUAUAAUGCAAAGCUAAAGUAUAACAACAAACGAACGAUGAAUGGAAGAGAAAGAACCUGUAGAGCCUCCAUCUGGAACUGUGCAGCGGUGGGUCGUGGGCGUACCGCCGGGCUCGAGUCCGUGCUCCUAGCUCGGAUCUGGGAGAGAGUGGGAGUAGAGGCCGUGUCGAUGACGCCGUCGCCAAUCCAAUAACGGCCAUGCUUCUUGCCUCCUCCCACCCUCAUCACGAUUUCUCCAUCAAUGUCCUCGGAGCUCGGAUCGAAGUCUGGCCCGUGAACUUCCCUAGCCACCUUUGUAUACUUGCUGACGCGGCUGUAUAUGCUAGGGUGGCUGUACGCCUCCGACGGGUCGUCUGGGUUGAAAUCUAUAUCGGACGUCGCCUUGCCCUUUUUGGAGAGGACCCAUGCCUUGAGCUGGGAGCAAGGUCGGCCAUCAUGUGACGCCGACUGCGGCAAAAAACAAAAUCAUUAAAAAUUACAUAGAACUGAACGUUACAAUAAAGAAUUGAAGUUGCGUACCCAUUUUUCUCUAUAUUCAUCAAGGCUUAGGCUACCUUGAUGGUGUGAUGCAGUCGGCAUCUGCAAACGCCGCUGCCGGCAAGAAAGGUGGGUCUCCAACCACCCGGGCUCCAACCACACGUCGACCAUCCUCUCCCAGCACGGCAUAUGCGCACGACACCACCACGGAGGCACCUACAUCAUCAAGCGUGUGACGUAUGAAAAAGAAAAUGAGCCUAAUUAAUCAUAAAUAGUAAGCAUCAACAUUCUAUACUUACCCUCAUGAAUUGAUCCUUAGUCAUGUUCAUUGUUCUUGCCUCCUCUUUUCUAACCUUCGUACGAUUGUAUUGAGCGUUGAAUUCUAUGAUGGCCUGGAUGCGCGCCUCGUAAUGCAUGUCCCUCACGAGCUUCUUGGCGGCUACAUCACAGAUGGCCUUCGCCUUGGCCUCGAACCCCUCCUGGCAUCUAUAGAAGUCUUGCAUAUACACGCGUAAACAGUUAUUAUUUCAAGAAUGUCGAAAGUAGCUGAUGUAUUGAGCAAUUUAGUACGAGGAGUACUUACCCACAGCUCGGCCUUGACCCGCUCCGCUAUGUUGGGGAAUCUUCUCUGUUGACGAUCAGGGACGUCGGGGGCAGCGACGUAGUGGUCCCACGUGUAGGCCGGCUGCAGCUGUCCGGCGUACACCACCAAGCCAGGGAAGUGAACCCUGCACAAAAGGCCAAGGAUCCCGUUGGCCUUACGGUUGUGGUCACCCCCGCUGAGCUUAACUCAACUCCUGCACAAGUAAUUAAUAUGAAUUAUUAGUUUUUGUAACUUACAACAUAAGAACAAUUUUAAGAAUAUUUAAAGUUACUUACUUGGUCCCAACCGGUUUAAUGAGCGAGCGUAAAUGCUCAGGUAUCGGCCGCUUCGGGAGGGAUGAGGGACCUCGCAACCAUAUCUUGGCCUGGGUAUCCCCUGCCUCCCCGUCCCCCUCCUGCUCCUGCUGCUCCUGCUCCUCCUCCUCCGCCUCCUCGUCCCCAGAGGAGUGUGCGGAAGGUACCUCCUCCUCCUCCUCCUCCUCCUCCUCCUCGUCCUCCUCCACCUCAGGUUCAGGCGACGGGGGCCUCGCCGCUUUACCCUUCCCUCGAGGCCUCUGGACCACCUCCUGCUCCUCCUCCUCCUCCUCCUCCUCAACCCUACGUCGAGGCCUGCCUCGACGCCUCCCUCGACCGCUCCCUGAACGUGACCCUGACCCUGAACGAGUCCCUGCCGCGGCCAGUCUCUCGCAAAUUGACAUGAGCUUCCUGAUACCGCCCACCAUUGCUUAAUGACCUGCAAUUAAAAAGAGUACACGAGUCAGCAUAGGCAAACAAAACAUAAUUACAAAUAUAUACAAAUUAUAAUUAAAUUAUAGCUAAAUUAUUACGAAUCAUACAUGUAUUAGAAAUAAUCAUCAUGAUCGGGAUUAGCUGGAUCAUAAGUCUCAUCAUCACUAUCACGCGUGUCGAUAUAGUCAAGCUCGUGCUCCAAAGAAGGAAUGUCGUCAUCACUGUCAUUAUCUAACUGUAAUCGUUGAAGUAAUUCUAAGUCCUUCACAUUCUGAACCUUGUCUCCACCGUCCUCUACAGCAACCCUCUCGUUGUCUACUUCCAUUCCGAUCGCUUCGGUUAAAUCUAUCACAAAACUCCCUUCGAGCCCAUCUUCUUGGAAUAACUCUCCUUCGUACGUGUCGGGGUCUAUAUUGUAAUCUUCAUUGUUUGGUACAGGUAGUUUACCGUGUGGCGAUACCUUGUACACAACAUCCCAACCCUUAAGACGGCUGUCGGUUUGGCACGGGUAUGACAAAUAAUAAACUUGCGUGGCCUAUUGAGCCACAAUAUAGACAUCGUCUCCUGGUAACUUCGAGCCCAUUCGUGCUUCAUACGGGAGGUGUAGAAUCAUAUGCUGCAUUGGAUUGAAGAAGCCUGGAGGAAAGAUCUUCUCCAACUUACAGAGCAACACAGGCGCCAUUGUUUCCAUUUCUGCAACCACGGUACGAGAUAACUCCUUCGCACAAAGCCGGCGGAAGAAAUUGCUCAACUCCGCUAGCACCUGCCACACAUGCUCAGGGACAUAGCCUCGAACCAUCACCGGAAGGAGGCGCUCAAGCCAUAUAUGGUAAUCAUGACUCUUGAGCCCGUUGAUUCGCAUAGUUGCUAAAUUCACUCCCCUCUUCAAGUUCGCUGCAUAGCCAUCAGGGAACAUUAAAGUUUGGAACCAUUCUAGAACCUCCCUCCUUUGGGCCCUCGUCAGAAUGAAAUCGGCCUUAGGCUUCCUCCACGACUUGCCAGCUCUUGGAGGCGCCAUGUUUAGCUGUGGUCUGUUGCACAAUGUCGCUUGAUCCACUCUAGCCUUAACGUUAUCCUUUGUCUUGUCAGGAAUGUCCAUUAUUGUACCAAAAAUUGCCUCGGCGAUAUUUUUUUCCGUGUGCAUUACAUCAAUGUUAUGUGGAACAAGGAGAUCCUCAAAAUAUGGAAGCUUCCACAAGCACGACUUCUGCGUCCAAGCAUGUUGCUCGCCAUAUCCCAAAAAACCACCUUCUUCAUUAUUGAACUCAAGAGCGUCUAACUGAGCACGAACUGCGGCCCCUGUCAUCAUCGGCGGUGCGGGGGCUGUAACUACAACAUCUUUGGUAAAGUUCUUCAUGUCUCGUCUAAAUGGAUGGUCAGGAGGGAGGAAUUGUCGAUGUUUGUCGAACGAGGAAUAUUUGCCCCCUUUCGACAACCAAAUGAACUUCAAAGAUGCUUUACAUACUGGGCAUGGGAACUUCCCGUGAACACACCAUCCGGAGAAAAUCCCAUAUGCUGGCAAGUCAUGCAGUGAGUACUGGUACCAAACAUGCAUCUUGAAGUUUGUCUUUGUGGAUCGGUCAUAGGUCCAUACCCCUUCCUCCCAAGCACGGAGCAAAUCAUCAAUCAAAGGCUCCAUAUACACACUCAUAUUAUUCCCCGGAUGCUCUGGAAUUAUCAACGACAAGAAUAUAUUAUGUCGUUGAAAUAGGACGCCGGGUGGGAGAUUCAGUGGGAUAACGAAAAUGGGCCAACAGGUGUACGGGGCGGCCACCAUUCCAUAGGGAUUGAACCCAUCAGUUGCCAACGCAACGCGUACGUUACGGGCUCUAGAGCUUUUGCAGGAUAAAUCGCAUCAAAGCUUCUCCAGGCUUCAACAUCGGAUGGGUGUACCAGCUUCUCUGGAUUAUAGCGACGGCCAUUUUUGUGCCAUGUCAUCUGUUUCGCGGAUUCUUCAGUCAUGAAAAGCCGUUGGAUCCUCGGUAUGAAAGGAAGAUACCGUAGAACCUUCACAGGAAUUGCGAGCUGCUUUUUCUGACCGUCACCAUAGUCAACCUCCAGAAAUCUAGACGAUUCACACUUCACACAGUAUUUUGCUUCCGCAUACUCUUUCCUAAAUAAGAUGCAUCCCUUCGGGCAAGCAUGUAUAUGCUCGUAUGGCAUCUUAAGUGCACGAAGGAGUUUCUGUGCCUCAUACAUGCUCUUUGGCAAGAUGUGACCAACCGGGAGCAGGCUUCCAAAAACUGUCAACAUAAUAUCAAACGCGUCUCGACUCAAACUAAACUGAGACUUCACAGCCAUUAGGCGUGCAAUGGCAUCUAGCUGAGAAACCUUGGUAUGGCCGUGAAGGGGAUGCUGUGCCGCAGACAACAUUUCGUAAUAAGCCUUAGCGGUAGCCUCUGGCUCCUCCUCCCUACGUGCCUCUUCGAAGUGUGCUUCAUGAAAGUCAUUUAACAUGUCUCCCACCCCGGCAUCAUCAUCAAAUUCCUCGAUUCGUUGUCUCAAGACCUCCUCUCUCCCACGGUCAGAUUCACCAUGGUAGAUCCACCUGGUGUAGUCUGACGUAAAUCCGUUCUUCACCAGAUGUUUGCCCAUCUCCAGCUUGGUUUGCCGACGCAUGUUUCCACAUUUGCUGCAAGGACACCAAGUCGAUCGAGCUCCAUUGACACUUGCAAAUGCCCGUUCCAAGAAAGCAUCAGUCUUGUCAAGCCAUUCAUUGGUCAACGUAUUCUGACUAGUGCGACCCGUGUACAUCCACUGACGAUCCUCCAUCCUCUACCAUUUAAAUAAGUAAUACAAAAUUCACAUUGCAUAUACACGCUCCUAUAUUGUCUACUAGGUAAAGAUAGGUCCUAAUCCCACCCGAGGAUGUGUAGGUGGGUUUAGUAUCCAUGGUCUACUCCGACCCGAGAUAAAAUUUCGGCAGCACCUCCCCGCUGUUCUCCAAAUACACGUCCUUGAUAGGAGAUUGUGUAUCUAGAGAACAACAGGGAGGUGCUGCCGAAAUUUUAUCUCGGGUCGGAGUAGACCAUGGAUACUAAACCCACCUACACAUCCUUGGGCUGUCCAAAAAACGUGGACAAUUCGAAACAGAUACGAUUAUAGAUAUGCAAAGAUCUGCAUAUUUCCAACCGUAUCUCUUUCGAACGGGAGACGCCUAACUAGGUUACGUGAUAUACGAACAUUAUACGGAAAGAGAGGUGUAGCAUGCCUCACCUUGCUAUCCUGCAAAGUGAUGAGUCGAGGACAGUCCUUGUAAGCCUCUCCUGCAACAAAAGAAACAAAACACUGUUUAAGUCAAAAUUCCGGCAGCAUCUCCCCUGCACGGGGAGGUUUCCAAAACCUGCAACAUAAUAAACGGCACGAUGGCCGACAACCACAAUCUCACCAAAGAGUUGGCACGAUGGCCAACAACCACAACCACACCUCUAUUCUUUUCAACCUUUUGUAAUUUCUACUAUUCCUUCUUCUCGAAUUUUCUAAAUCCAUACCUCUAAUUUAUAAAAUAAAUGCUACCUCUCUAGUAUUUUCAACAUUUAAUUUCUAAUUUCCAAUUUUCAUGCAUACUCUAAUUUACGAUGUGUAGCGGCAACAUAAACUUACCGGAGGGGUGACGGAGGAGCGGGCACGGGGCGGCGGCGGGGGUGCGGCCUGGCGGCGACGGCGCGGGGUGGCCGAGGGUUGGGGCCGGGGGUCGGGGCCGGCUGGCGCGGGGCGGCUAGGGGCGGCCGGGGCCGGCGGCGGGCGUGUGCGGGGCAGGCCGGCAGCGGGACGCCCGGGGCCGGCGUUGGGCGGCCGGGGCAGGCCGCGGGCGGCGCGGGCCGGGGACGGCCGGGGCCGGCCGCGGGCGGCGCGGGCCGGGGGCGGCGUCGGGCGUCCGGAGCGGCGUCGGGCCGGGGCGGCGCGGGCGGCGUCGGGGCGGCGUCGGGCGGCGCGCGUGGCGGCGGGGCGGGCGGCGCGCGGCGGCGGCGUGGGGCGGGCGGCGCGGGCGGCGGCGUCGGGCGGCGGCGGUGGCGUGGGGCGGGCGGCGCGGGCGGCGGCGUGGGGCAGGCGGCGGCGUGGGGCGGGCGGCGCGGGCGGCGGCGUGGGGCAGGCGGCGGCGGCGGGCGGCGCGGGCGGUCAGCGGGACGGGCGGCCGGGGCGGCGCGUGCGUGUAUGUGUGGUUGUGUGCGUGAGGACUUAGCCGAUUGGGAUUGGGUGGAUAUCCGAAAACUUUGCCGAGUGCCCGUGAUGUAGCACUCGGCACACCCUUUGCCGAGUGCUAGAUCAGGGGCACUCGGCAAAGUGUAUUUUUUUCCCCGAAAUUCGUACUGAGGCUUACACGUGGACCCGGUGUCACCUUUGCCGAGUGCCCUUGAUCUAGCACUCGGCAUACCCUUUGCCGAGUGCUAGAUCCGGGGCACUCGGCAAAGUGUAUUUUUUUCCCCGAAUUUCGUACUGACACUGUGACGUGGACCCGGGGUGACUUUGCCGAGUGCCCUAUUUAUGACACUCGGCAAACCAUGCCUUUGCCGAGUGCCCUACUUAGCACUCGGCAAACACCUACCUAUAUUGCAUGUGCAACAACACUUUUAGUAAUUAAAAGUAUGUAAACUUUGUGUAAACCUAGUCAAAUUCACUAAACAUUGCGUAUUCCAUUUUUUUAAGUAAUAUUGUACCAUUAUUUCAUGGAUUUAUAGCUCAUAUUAAAUUUAUAUCUAUUAAAUUCAUAUACGUGCAAUUAAUGAAUAAAAAUUACCAAACGGAUCUGAAAAUUUCCCAAAAUUUGACAUGAACCUAUCUAUGUUCUCUAUAGCCUAUAAAAAAAAAUUUGGACUAAAUGAGAAUUACAUUUAUCGAUUCAUCUCAAAAUCUUACCGGAUCCUUUGAACUUCUACGAAUCUUCUCCGGAGAUGCUUCGAAUUCUAAACAUCAUAUGUCAAAACUUGUGCGAAACCUUGUCAAUUUUUUACCACAGCCUCUGCAUACGAAAUCAUAGCAUCUUGCAAAAUCUCAUGAUUUUCAAACUUCGUUUGUAUUUUUGAGAAUUAAACAAUCAUUUGGCCACACGUUCGUAGUCGUGUUUCCUUAGCAAAAUGUUCGAAAUUUCUUUUCAUUUUCUGGGUGAGACCUCAAUUUAGACUCACUAACAUGAAUAUCAUUUUUCCACUCAUAUUAUUCCAUUAUUCCAACCACCUGCAGUUCAAAUUUGACUUAAAUCAAAAAAUUACUCUAAAUGAAAUUAAUUGAUUAAAUAUAGCAAACAAAACAAAAAAUAGUCCAUCUUCUACCAUGCAGUGACAAAUGCCAUACAUGUGGAGUGUAAAAAGUUUGGGGGGUGGAGGAGGGGAAAAAAAUUAUUUUUGCCGAGUGUGUCAAAAGACACUCGGCAAAGACUAUAGUUUGCCGAGUGUCCCAUCAUGACACUCGGCAAACUAGUGCCUUUGCCGAGUGUGUCAAAAGACACUCGGCAAAGACUAUAGUUUGCCGAGUGUCCCAUCAUGACACUCGGCAAACUAGUGCCUUUGCCGAGUGCCCCAUCAUGACACUCGGCAAAGACUAACGUCCGUCACGGAGUGGCGCCGCCGGCAGCACGGGGAAGUCACGUGGGCGUCAGUUUGCCGAGUGUGAAAGUUUGCCGAGUGCCUGUUGGGUGUUUGCCGAGUGUUUUUUGGGUGGCACUCGGCAAACCGGUCUUUCGCCGAGUGUUUUAUUUUUGCCGUGUGUUUUUGAUGUUACACUCGGCAAAACGGUACUUCGCCGAGUGCCCGAAAAAAAGCACUCGGCGAAGUAAUUACACUCGGCGACAUUAAGCUUUCCCGUAGUGCCUGCCGCUUUCUUGAUCGAGUAAUCUAUGCCCAUGAAAGAGUUCGGUAUUUGUCUGAUCGAGGAAGACGAGGUAGCACAUUUAUGUGAAAGCAGUACUGGCGGACAUGAUGGUCGGUGGCUAUUGAUUAUCUUCCAACUCCUUUAUGCCGUUAUCAGUACUACAAAAAUCAUUUGUAGGGGUGAAGUGUUUUUUUUUAGGGUGGACCAAAAGGUCUGCCGCCCCCAGGGGCGGAGCUACAGUCAACCAUCGAUGAUUUGGUCGCGAGCUCUUAUAUCCUUCCUAGGAGAACUGCCCAUACGUUGCUACGGAUAAAAAUAAUGUUUAUAAUUACAUUAAUCAUGAUUCGUUAUUUCAAAUGUGUGACAUAUUAUCGAAUUUACGUAUCUUUCUAUGCAUUUUUCGAACAAAGAGAUAUUUUUAUAAUAAUUUUAUCAGAUUAACAUGAGACAUAAUCUUCUAUGGUAUAUUAUGUACUCUACUAUGUAAAUUUUAUGUUUGUUUGUGUAGUCUUCUACGUUGCUCGCUUUUUAUAAUAAAAGUAGAGAGAGGUGGGCGCCUGUGAACAACAAAAACCCAAAAAUGUACACAAUAAUCAAUAUAUUAUAAUUAUUAUUUUUUCCUAGAAUAAAAAUAUGGACUCAUCGAGCCCAUGAAAAGCGCAAGGAGGUGGCCCGGCAGCCCCAUCCAUCCAUCCAUUGUUAUCCACACUUGCUAAACAACUGAAUUAAAAAUAUACUUUUAUCCACACAAGAGACGGAUGAAUUGUUUGGCACUGCACUUUCUUGGACGUUGCUGUUGCUGGAAUUGGCAUUAGGAAGGCGUCGCUCGGCCGUGCAGAGGUGCCAUUGUGGCUUUGUGGAGGUGCCCCUACGUUGUGCCGGAGCGGAGCUGCAGGCAGCGUAAGCGGCCGGGUAGCACGCCACAACAUGCUGGAGACAGCGCCGAACCUCGAGCGUUCAACUGGGGCUGCUUAUAGCGCCAACAGUGCUCUGUAUCUUGCUCAGUGGAUGGGAGGACGACGGUGAGCGGCGCCUUGGAGAACUGCAAAUGCUCCUGCACACAUGCCCCAUGGGCCGGAACUGCACACUAACCCCCGCGAACGAUGGUAGUAGGGCAACAAAGCUGGCCAUGGCGCUGCUCGUUGAGCUUUCCGUGUGCGCGAACAGGCAUUUGCUAUGUUCCCUACAAAAUUAAAGGUUGUUUGAUUCAACGGUCAAAUAGUGCGAGCAUGUUAAUUGAUGCGAGUGUAUCGUGGGAACUGCAAAAGAACUACAGGGCAUCGAGGAAGCAGUGUUGUUGCUCGGAAGUACCAGCACUGACGCGCUUUCCGAUGUGUCUCCAGCUUGAGUGGCUGCGUCUGCCCGCUCGGCAGCAGUUUCACCCUAUUCUGGGCAUCUCCCCACGCGUCUUGGCCAUCGUUACCUCUGGCAUCGUUAAGGUAUGGCUUCCUUUCAGCCUCGGCCGUUUCUUUCUCCAAUGCGCGAGUGCGAGGGCGAGCUCUGGCAGCAUGCUGCCUCCCACGGCAAUCUUGCCCAGGGCGAUCAGGUUGCACUGCCUUGCGGCGGCUUCAAGCGUGUCGAUCGGUAGCAGGCACUCCGAGCUCUCCUUGUGCAUAUGGGGCACCUUCACUCACGCCACCACUGUGAGGCCUGCCAGGUGUGCCACUUCAUUGUUCACAUGGUUACAAAGGCGGUGGCGUGGAAGUGUGGUGGCACGGACGAGGAAGAAAAAAUGACAGACCACGAUGAACGCAUUAAUUUAGUCCUCCGGGCAGAUUAAGAAAAAGAUUAGGGACUUUUAUACAAAACAUGCUUGACGGUUGGAAAAAACAUAUGUCACUUUAGUAUUAGGCAAGGAUGUGAUUAUAUGAUUAUAUGGACUGAUACCGGUUAAAAGAUCAUUAUCUAAUCAACCAUUCACGUCGCCCAUAGUGUAGGCAACAGGCCAUUCUAUUGCGAUCCUCUGUCGCCUAUCGCUUCCCUUGACAAUUGAAUUUGAAGUCAGAAAUUCUUUUGUUUCAAUUUUGCUAGGUCCACUAGUUUUCUUAAAUCAGAAUCAAGUUGAAACCAGAAGAGCCUUGUUAGCUUGUUUGAUCUAUACUUCUUUGUAGCAAAUGUAAAAUCACAACUCAUAUAAUGGUUGUUUCAUAUUCGAUCUGCAAGUCUUCUUCUCAUUCACACGAUGGAUGGCCAUAGGCACAAAGAGAAUCGAAGUAGUAGACCAUAAUCACUAUAGUAAAAGCUUAAAAUCUCAAAAUAUGUCAUCAUUUAUUUUUCAUUAUGUUAUCCAUAUAACUAUAGUAUGAGUUAGAAUAUUGCAUGGACAUCAGAUCAGCUACAACAUUUCCUAGCUUCGCCCUUCGCCGCCCCUGCAGCAGCUAGCCCAAUCCAGGAAAUGUAUUUCCCAGGUGGGGGUGAGCAGACCCUGGAAAUAAGCUGGGGACGGACCAGCACGUCAACCGUCUCUGAAAAUAGCCCAUUUCAGAGGUGGGCAACUCCAUGGUCCGUCCUAGCAGAUUGAAUUACAGGAGCUGACGACACGAAGCAACACCCUGCUGCUCAACCAAAUUUUGUAUGGACAAGGCGCAAAUGAAAAGGCAAGCGGAAAGCAUAAGGUCCAUUCUGCUCCGCACAUAUAUCUUAUCUCAACCACAGCUUUCCAUGUCAUCUCCUUAGAGAAACUCCGACAGAUUGAUUUUCCACAUUCCCCUUUAUCCUCUUAUAGGGCAUUCCCUUUCACGAUUUCUGAAUUUUGAAGACUAGUGGGGCAAGAAAUUUUGUAUAGUAACAAAGAUAAUCUCAGCCCCACUUGCUACACAUACAUGCACGGUAAAUAGAAAGGGUUAUUUUCUAUGUCAAAGGCAUGCUCAGCUUCAAAGUCGUUCUGUUGUUAGCAUCGUUGUGUUGUUUCUGAUAACGUGCAGGAGGAAGCGAAAACACAGAGUAGAAAGAGGAUGAGAAAUUAAAGAAGACAAUGAAGCUCACGUUCACGUCUACAUGAGGGAGCUCUCACACAAGCAAGUCCAUUCAUCCUCUGUCUCCAUGCUGUUGAUGAUGACAUGUCACAUGUCCUUUGCCUUGACGUCGGCGGCAGGCCGGCAGCCCAAUGAACCCAUGACGAACAGCAUGAGCAUGACCAGCUAACUUCAUUGCUGAGUACGACAUGUGGUUAUCCUUGCUAUAACUAAUGUUGGUCAGAAGAAGAAGCUGCUAUAAAGUUGUUCUGAAGACGCUGAGUUCUAGGCGUACGCAAGCCCCGGUUGAUUGCCUGCGAAGUUUGGAACCUUCGUUUCCAGGAUUAAGCUGUAAAUCUCCGAUAGACUCUCUUUAUAUCUCUUUAUGUGAUACUGUUACUGUUAUUCACUGAUGAUGUGACUAUAUGUAUGAAACUUGAUCAUGUCAUACAUACAGUUAGCACUUGGUUUUGCUGUUCUAAAAUCAGAUGUGACACCUACGAACCCAUGACGAACAGCAUGAGCGUAACCAGCUAACUUCAUUGCUGCUGCCUUUCGUAGAUGUUGGUGAACAUGACGUGUCUUUCAUCUCCACGAUGGCGACGGAUCCAAAGAUCAAAGAACAUGCAUCAACGCGAUCCGUAUGGCGUGUUUUCUGGUAUUUCCACCCCAUGAUGUAACGCCGACCGGGUUCCAUACGAGGCCUACGGCCAGUCUGUUCACUUUCAUCAUGUGCUCCGAUGAGAGUUCAUCACCGUGAUAAAAGACGGAGACGAGGGCACACAGUCGUAGCUGCAAGUAAGGCCAACAGGCUCAAGGCCAUGGCUUUACAGCCAGCAGUCUUGCCUUGCAUGCACUCACGGACUAUUACCGGACUAGCAAUUGGUACUUUGACGCACUACAUGGACCCUUACAAAAUUAAAAAAAUGAACGUCAACAAGCAAAUGAAACUGCAUGAACUGAAGUAAGCUAUUUCAUCCCUGAUGCCUUCCAUGCCUAUGGAUGUACCGCGUGCUCGAGUAAGCUAUGCUUGCAGAUGGAUCUUAAACCUGAUGUCAAAUUGUGGAUAAUUGAAAGAGUUUGCUGUUUGUCUGCUUUAGGGAAGAUGGGUAGCACGUUUAUAUGCCAUUAAUUCUCAUGAAAGAGUGCAUAUACCAUGUUUGUCGCAGCAAGAUGAGGCUGUAGAGUAGUAGACGUGUAGAACAAUGGUACAGGUUGUAUGAAUAAUUUAUUGAAGGGAAUCAUAGACGCCACAGCCACUGAAGCUGUUGGGGCAUGAUUAGCCAAUGGUCUAAUUCCUGAUAUCUCCGUAUCCUAAUUUUCUGAAGCCUUACGGACUCUACCCUCCUCACUUCAUAUAUAUUAGUGUUUAUAAUAGCGGUUUUAUAAGAAGUGCUGAAGGUAUUGGUCCUGCUAUAUCUUGCUUCCACUACCGGAUUUGUGUACGAAAUAUUAAUUCUUGAGAUUUGUCAAUGAUUUUAGGACGCAAUGAUACCUUCAACUACCGGAUUGUAUAUAUAAGUUAGUCUUAGCCAGUUAUAUAUUCGAGGAGGAAGCACGCAUUAAAUAAUAAAUAACUCAUGUUGAUUCAAUUGGCAACCUGGCCUCUAAAAAGAAAAGGACUCUGUUCUCAAAAAAUGAAAAAAAGUAGCCUGCUAAUAACAAUGUCGACACUUUACAUCUGAGCAGCUAGCUCCGUGAUGCUUUAUCUGGCUAGUGAACUACCUACCUAUAUUAUUUAAACAUUUUUGCUGCCUAUAAAUUGGGCAUCAUUUCAGCGGACCACCACAGCACCUGAGCUUGCCAUCUUUUCCUGUUCUAUCUCACUCAUUUGUCCUGUAGCUACUAGCUAAGCCACCAUAUCAUCCAUGGCUUCCGGUGCCUCCACCACGUUGAAGAUUGCCUCUAUCGCCGCUUGCAUCCUGCUGGUUCUGCUGUCCAAUGGCCACCCUACAGUGGCAACCGUUGAUUGUACUGCGGCUUGCAAAGAGCCGUGCGAGAGCUUUUCUAAGGGAUUCUGCGCGGGUGGAGCCACCAGCGGUUGUGCGACUAAGGCAGCAGCUACAGCAUGCCGCAAUUCGGCGUUCUCGCAGUGUGCGAACAACUGCUACACAGUUUGCACCGCCGGGACCAUCGCGCCUUGCGCUUGAAGAUGCAUUUGUGUUCCUACUUCCACAUUAUUGUUACUAGUGAGUGUGUGCAAGCAGGCCUGCCGUCCACGGGAGGAGGCACGCAAGCACGCAUGAUAAGCCACUGUCGUUUUUCCACUUUAUCAUUUACUUAUUGAAGGCAAUGUACGUGCCUAGCUCCUGUGUGGUUGAGCAUGUCAUCUUGGAAUUUUGUCCAAAGUUUAACAUACCAUGUUGUAUUGUUGUGUAUGGGUAUCAAUAUAAUUUAUCAACUAUUUUUCGUUUACCAUAGACAUUUCUAUGUUUAUUUGCAAGGGUUAGGGAAAUUUGUCCUUGAUAGUGUACUAACCGCGUCUGCCAACUGAACAGAUCAACUUUCUCAACAGCCUAUCUCCUACUUGAAAAAAUAUUCGCUUUAGAAAUGGUUUGUUUCUUUUCUGUGUAGCUCUAUCACCCAUCACCGUGAGGGUUACAAAACUCGGCGCAAGGGUUCCAAGCUGUGGCGCCACAAACCACAUAAGCUGUGGCGCAAGGGUUCUAGCUGGCUAGUCACAAACAACUAUUUCAUCCCGGAUGUCUUCCAUGCCCAUGGAGCUGCCGCUUUCUUGAUCGAGUAAUCUAUGCGCAUGAACGAGUUCGGUAUUUGUCUGAUCGAGGAAGACGAGGUAGCACAUUUAUGUGAAAGCAGUACUGGCGGACAUGAUGGUCGGUGGCCUAUUGAUUAUCUUCCAACUCCUUUAUGCCAUUAUCAGUACUACAGAAAUCAUUUGUAGGGGUGAAGUGUUUUUUUUUAGGGUGGACCAAAAGGUCUGCCGCCCCCAGGGGCGGAGCUAUAGUCAACCAUCGAUGAUUUGGUCGCGAGCUCUUAUAUCCUUCCCAGGAGCCCAUACGUUGCUACGGAUGAAAAUAAUGUAUAUAAUUACAUUAAUCAUGAUUCGUUAUUUCAAAUGUGUGACAUAUUAUCGAAUUUACGUAUCUUUCUAUGCAUUUUUCGAACAAAGAGAUAUUUUUAUAAUAAUUUUAUCAGAGUAACAUUAGACAUAAUCUUCUAUGGUAUAUUAUGUACUCUAGUAUGUAAAUCUUAUGUUUGUUUGUGUAGUCUUCUACGUUGCUCGCUUUUUAUAAUAAAAGUAGAGAGAGGUGUGCGCCUGUGAACAACAAAAACCCCAAAAUGUAGACAAUAAUAAAUAUAUUAUAUUUAUUAUUUUUUCCUAGAAUAAAAAUAUGGACUCAUCGAGCCCAUGACAAGCGCAAGGAGGUGGUCCGGCAGCCCCAUCCAUCCAUCCAUUGUUAUCCACACUUGCUAAACAAAUGAAUUAAAAACAUAAUUUUAUCCACACAAGAGACGGAUGAAUUGUUUGGUACUGCACUUUCUUAGACGUUGCUGUUGCUGGAUUGGGCAUUAGGAAGGCGUCGCUCGGCUGUGCAGAGGUGCCAUUGGGGCUUUGUGGAGGCACCCCUACGUUGUGUCGGAGCGGAGCUACAGGCAGCGUAAGCGGCCGGGUAGCACGCCACAACAUGCUAGAGACAGCGCCGAGCCUUGAGCCUUCGACUGGGGCUGCUUAUAGCGCCAACACCGCUCUGUAUCUUGCUCAGUGGAUGGGCGGACGACGGCGAGCGGCGCCUAGGAGAACUGCAAAUGCUCCUGCACACAUGCCCCAUGGGCCGGAACUGCACACUAACCCCCGCGAACGAUGGUAGUAGGGCAACAAAGCUGGCCAUGGCGCUGCUCGUUGAGCUUUCCGUGUGCGCGAACAGGCAUUUGAUAUAUUCCCUACAAAAUUAAAGGUUGUUUGAUUCAACGGUCAAAUAGUGCGAGCAUGUUAAUUGAUGCGAGUGUAUUGUGGGAACUGCCAAGGAACUGCAGGGCAUCGAGCAAGCAGUGGUGUUGCUCGGAAGUACCAGCACUGACGCGCUUUCUGAUGUGUCUCCAGCGGGGGUGGCAGCGUCUGCCUGCUCGGCAGCAGUUUCACCCUAUUCUGGGCAUCUCCCCACGCGUCUUGGCCAUCAUUACCUCUGGCAUUGUUAAGGUAUGGCUUCCUUUCAGCGUCGGCCGUUUCUUUCUCCAAUGACCGGUUAAAAGAUCAUUAUCUAAUCAACCAUUCACGUCGCCCAUAGUGUAGGCAACAGGCUAUUCUAUUGCGAUCCGCUGUCGCCUAUCGCUUCCCUUCAGAAUUUGAAGUCAGAAAUUCUUUUGUUUCAAUUUUGCUAGCUCCACUAGUUUUCUUAAAUCAGAAUCAAGUUGAAACCAGAAGAGCCUUGUUAGCUUGUUUGAUCUAUACUUCGUUGUAGCAAAUGUAAAAUGACAACUCAUAUAAUGGUUGUUUCAUAUUCUAUCUGCAAGUCUUCUUCUCAUUCACACGAUGGAUGGCCAUAGGCACAAAGAGAAUUGAAGUAGUAGACCAUAAUCAAUAUAGUAAAAGCUUAAAAUCUCAAAAUAUGUCAUCAUUUAUUUUUCAUUAUGUUAUCCAUAGAACUAUAGUAUGAGUUAGAAUAUUGCAUGGACAUCAGAUCAGCUACAACAUUUCCUAGCUUCGCCCUUCGCCGCCCCUGCAGCAGCUAGCCCAAUCCAGGAAAUGUAUUUCCCAGGUGGGGGUGAGCUGGAAAUAAGCUGGGGACGGACCAGCACGUCAACCGUCUCUGAAAAUAGCCCAUUUCAGAGGUGGGCAACUCCAUGGUCCGUCCUAGCAGAUUGAAUUACAGGAGCAGACGACACGAAGCAUCACCCUGCUGCUCAACCAAAUUUUGUAUGGACAACGCGCAAAUGAAAAGGCAAGCGGAAAGCAUAAGGUCCAUUCUGCUCCGCACAUAUAUCUUAUCUCAACCACAGCUUUCCAUGUCAUCUCCUUAGAGAAACUCCGACAGAUUGAUUUUCCACAUUCCCCUUUAUCCUCUUAUAGGGCAUUCCCUUUCACGAUUUCUGAAUUUUGAAGACUAGUGCGGCAAGAAAUUUUGUAUAGUAACAAAGAUAAUCUCAGCCCCACUUGCUACACAUACAUGCACGGUAAAUAGAAAUGGUCAUUUUCUAUGUCUAAGGCAUGCUCAGCUUCAAAGUCGUUCUGUUGUUAGCAUCGUUGUGUUGUUUCUGAUAACGUGCAGGAGGAAGCCAAAACACAGAGUAGAAAGAGGAUGAGAAAUUAAAGAAGACAAUGAAGCUCACGUUCACGUCUACAUGAGGGAGCUCUCACACAAGCAAGUCCAUUCAUCCUCUGUCUCCAUGCUGUUGAUGAUGACAUGUCACAUGUCCUUUGCCUUGACGUCGGCGGCAGGCCGGCAGCCCAAUGAACCCAUGACGAACAGCAUGAGCAUGACCAGCUAACUUCAUUGCUGAGUACGACAUGUGGUUAUCCUUGCUAUAACUAAUGUUGGUCAGAAGAAGAAGCUGCUAUAAAGUUGUUCUGAAGACGCUGAGUUCUAGGCGUACGCAAGCCCCGGUUGAUUGCCUGCGAAGUUUGGAACCUUCGUUUCCAGGAUUAAGCUGUAAAUCUCCGAUAGACUCUCUUUAUAUCUCUUUAUGUGAUACUGUUACUGUUAUUCACUGAUGAUGUGACUAUAUGUAUGAAACUUGAUCAUGUCAUACAUACAGUUAGCACUUGGUUUUGCUGUUCUAAAAUCAGAUGUGACACCUACGAACCCAUGACGAACAGCAUGAGCGUAACCAGCUAACUUCAUUGCUGCUGCCUUUCGUAGAUGUUGGUGAACAUGACGUGUCUUUCAUCUCCACGAUGGCGACGGAUCCAAAGAUCAAAGAACAUGCAUCAACGCGAUCCGUAUGGCGUGUUUUCUGGUAUUUCCACCCCAUGAUGUAACGCCGACCGGGUUCCAUACGAGGCCUACGGCCAGUCUGUUCACUUUCAUCAUGUGCUCCGAUGAGAGUUCAUCACCGUGAUAAAAGACGGAGACGAGGGCACACAGUCGUAGCUGCAAGUAAGGCCAACAGGCUCAAGGCCAUGGCUUUACAGCCAGCAGUCUUGCCUUGCAUGCACUCACGGACUAUUACCGGACUAGCAAUUGGUACUUUGACGCACUACAUGGACCCUUACAAAAUUAAAAAAAUGAACGUCAACAAGCAAAUGAAACUGCAUGAACUGAAGUAAGCUAUUUCAUCCCUGAUGCCUUCCAUGCCUAUGGAUGUACCGCGUGCUCGAGUAAGCUAUGCUUGCAGAUGGAUCUUAAACCUGAUGUCAAAUUGUGGAUAAUUGAAAGAGUUUGCUGUUUGUCUGCUUUAGGGAAGAUGGGUAGCACGUUUAUAUGCCAUUAAUUCUCAUGAAAGAGUGCAUAUACCAUGUUUGUCGCAGCAAGAUGAGGCUGUAGAGUAGUAGACGUGUAGAACAAUGGUACAGGUUGUAUGAAUAAUUUAUUGAAGGGAAUCAUAGACGCCACAGCCACUGAAGCUGUUGGGGCAUGAUUAGCCAAUGGUCUAAUUCCUGAUAUCUCCGUAUCCUAAUUUUCUGAAGCCUUACGGACUCUACCCUCCUCACUUCAUAUAUAUUAGUGUUUAUAAUAGCGGUUUUAUAAGAAGUGCUGAAGGUAUUGGUCCUGCUAUAUCUUGCUUCCACUACCGGAUUUGUGUACGAAAUAUUAAUUCUUGAGAUUUGUCAAUGAUUUUAGGACGCAAUGAUACCUUCAACUACCGGAUUGUAUAUAUAAGUUAGUCUUAGCCAGUUAUAUAUUCGAGGAGGAAGCACGCAUUAAAUAAUAAAUAACUCAUGUUGAUUCAAUUGGCAACCUGGCCUCUAAAAAGAAAAGGACUCUGUUCUCAAAAAAUGAAAAAAAGUAGCCUGCUAAUAACAAUGUCGACACUUUACAUCUGAGCAGCUAGCUCCGUGAUGCUUUAUCUGGCUAGUGAACUACCUACCUAUAUUAUUUAAACAUUUUUGCUGCCUAUAAAUUGGGCAUCAUUUCAGCGGACCACCACAGCACCUGAGCUUGCCAUCUUUUCCUGUUCUAUCUCACUCAUUUGUCCUGUAGCUACUAGCUAAGCCACCAUAUCAUCCAUGGCUUCCGGUGCCUCCACCACGUUGAAGAUUGCCUCUAUCGCCGCUUGCAUCCUGCUGGUUCUGCUGUCCAAUGGCCACCCUACAGUGGCAACCGUUGAUUGUACUGCGGCUUGCAAAGAGCCGUGCGAGAGCUUUUCUAAGGGAUUCUGCGCGGGUGGAGCCACCAGCGGUUGUGCGACUAAGGCAGCAGCUACAGCAUGCCGCAAUUCGGCGUUCUCGCAGUGUGCGAACAACUGCUACACAGUUUGCACCGCCGGGACCAUCGCGCCUUGCGCUUGAAGAUGCAUUUGUGUUCCUACUUCCACAUUAUUGUUACUGGUGAGUGUGUGCAAGCAGGCCUGCCGUCCACGGGAGGAGGCACGCAAGCACGCAUGAUAAGCCACUGUCGUUUUUCCACUUUAUCAUUUACUUAUUGAAGGCAAUGUACGUGCCUAGCUCCUGUGUGGUUGAGCAUGUCAUCUUGGAAUUUUGUCCAAAGUUUAACAUACCAUGUUGUAUUGUUGUGUAUGGGUAUCAAUAUAAUUUAUCAACUAUUUUUCGUUUACCAUAGACAUUUCUAUGUUUAUUUGCAAGGGUUAGGGAAAUUUGUCCUUGAUAGUGUACUAACCGCGUCUGCCAACUGAACAGAUCAACUUUCUCAACAGCCUAUCUCCUACUUGAAAAAAUAUUCGCUUUAGAAAUGGUUUGUUUCUUUUCUGUGUAGCUCUAUCACCCAUCACCGUGAGGGUUACAAAACUCGGCGCAAGGGUUCCAAGCUGUGGCGCCACAAACCACAUAAGCUGUGGCGCAAGGGUUCUAGCUGGCUAGUCACAAACAACUAUUUCAUCCCGGAUGUCUUCCAUGCCCAUGGAGCUGCCGCUUUCUUGAUCGAGUAAUCUAUGCGCAUGAACGAGUUCGGUAUUUGUCUGAUCGAGGAAGACGAGGUAGCACAUUUAUGUGAAAGCAGUACUGGCGGACAUGAUGGUCGGUGGCCUAUUGAUUAUCUUCCAACUCCUUUAUGCCAUUAUCAGUACUACAGAAAUCAUUUGUAGGGGUGAAGUGUUUUUUUUUAGGGUGGACCAAAAGGUCUGCCGCCCCCAGGGGCGGAGCUACAGUCAACCAUCGAUGAUUUGGUCGCGAGCUCUUAUAUCCUUCCCAGGAGCCCAUACGUUGCUACGGAUGAAAAUAAUGUAUAUAAUUACAUUAAUCAUGAUUCGUUAUUUCAAAUGUGUGACAUAUUAUCGAAUUUACGUAUCUUUCUAUGCAUUUUUCGAACAAAGAGAUAUUUUUAUAAUAAUUUUAUCAGAGUAACAUUAGACAUAAUCUUCUAUGGUAUAUUAUGUACUCUAGUAUGUAAAUCUUAUGUUUGUUUGUGUAGUCUUCUACGUUGCUCGCUUUUUAUAAUAAAAGUAGAGAGAGGUGUGCGCCUGUGAACAACAAAAACCCCAAAAUGUAGACAAUAAUAAAUAUAUUAUAUUUAUUAUUUUUUCCUAGAAUAAAAAUAUGGACUCAUCGAGCCCAUGACAAGCGCAAGGAGGUGGUCCGGCAGCCCCAUCCAUCCAUCCAUUGUUAUCCACACUUGCUAAACAAAUGAAUUAAAAACAUAAUUUUAUCCACACAAGAGACGGAUGAAUUGUUUGGUACUGCACUUUCUUAGACGUUGCUGUUGCUGGAUUGGGCAUUAGGAAGGCGUCGCUCGGCUGUGCAGAGGUGCCAUUGGGGCUUUGUGGAGGCACCCCUACGUUGUGUCGGAGCGGAGCUACAGGCAGCGUAAGCGGCCGGGUAGCACGCCACAACAUGCUAGAGACAGCGCCGAGCCUUGAGCCUUCGACUGGGGCUGCUUAUAGCGCCAACACCGCUCUGUAUCUUGCUCAGUGGAUGGGCGGACGACGGCGAGCGGCGCCUAGGAGAACUGCAAAUGCUCCUGCACACAUGCCCCAUGGGCCGGAACUGCACACUAACCCCCGCGAACGAUGGUAGUAGGGCAACAAAGCUGGCCAUGGCGCUGCUCGUUGAGCUUUCCGUGUGCGCGAACAGGCAUUUGAUAUAUUCCCUACAAAAUUAAAGGUUGUUUGAUUCAACGGUCAAAUAGUGCGAGCAUGUUAAUUGAUGCGAGUGUAUUGUGGGAACUGCCAAGGAACUGCAGGGCAUCGAGCAAGCAGUGGUGUUGCUCGGAAGUACCAGCACUGACGCGCUUUCUGAUGUGUCUCCAGCGGGGGUGGCAGCGUCUGCCUGCUCGGCAGCAGUUUCACCCUAUUCUGGGCAUCUCCCCACGCGUCUUGGCCAUCAUUACCUCUGGCAUUGUUAAGGUAUGGCUUCCUUUCAGCGUCGGCCGUUUCUUUCUCCAAUGACCGGUUAAAAGAUCAUUAUCUAAUCAACCAUUCACGUCGCCCAUAGUGUAGGCAACAGGCUAUUCUAUUGCGAUCCGCUGUCGCCUAUCGCUUCCCUUCAGAAUUUGAAGUCAGAAAUUCUUUUGUUUCAAUUUUGCUAGCUCCACUAGUUUUCUUAAAUCAGAAUCAAGUUGAAACCAGAAGAGCCUUGUUAGCUUGUUUGAUCUAUACUUCGUUGUAGCAAAUGUAAAAUGACAACUCAUAUAAUGGUUGUUUCAUAUUCUAUCUGCAAGUCUUCUUCUCAUUCACACGAUGGAUGGCCAUAGGCACAAAGAGAAUUGAAGUAGUAGACCAUAAUCAAUAUAGUAAAAGCUUAAAAUCUCAAAAUAUGUCAUCAUUUAUUUUUCAUUAUGUUAUCCAUAGAACUAUAGUAUGAGUUAGAAUAUUGCAUGGACAUCAGAUCAGCUACAACAUUUCCUAGCUUCGCCCUUCGCCGCCCCUGCAGCAGCUAGCCCAAUCCAGGAAAUGUAUUUCCCAGGUGGGGGUGAGCAGACCCUGGAAAUAAGCUGGGGACGGACCAGCACGUCAACCGUCUCUGAAAAUAGCCCAUUUCAGAGGUGGGCAACUCCAUGGUCCGUCCUAGCAGAUUGAAUUACAGGAGCAGACGACACGAAGCAUCACCCUGCUGCUCAACCAAAUUUUGUAUGGACAACGCGCAAAUGAAAAGGCAAGCGGAAAGCAUAAGGUCCAUUCUGCUCCGCACAUAUAUCUUAUCUCAACCACAGCUUUCCAUGUCAUCUCCUUAGAGAAACUCCGACAGAUUGAUUUUCCACAUUCCCCUUUAUCCUCUUAUAGGGCAUUCCCUUUCACGAUUUCUGAAUUUUGAAGACUAGUGCGGCAAGAAAUUUUGUAUAGUAACAAAGAUAAUCUCAGGCCCACUUGCUACACAUACAUGCACGGUAAAUAGAAAUGGUCAUUUUCUAUGUCUAAGGCAUGCUCAGCUUCAAAGUCGUUCUGUUGUUAGCAUCGUUGUGUUGUUUCUGAUAACGUGCAGGAGGAAGCCAAAACACAGAGUAGAAAGAGGAUGAGAAAUUAAAGAAGACAAUGAAGCUCACGUUCACGUCUACAUGAGGGAGCUCUCACACAAGCAAGUCCAUUCAUCCUCUGUCUCCAUGCUGUUGAUGAUAACAUAUCACAUGUCCUUUGCCUUGACGUCGGCGGCAGGCUGGCAGCCCAAUGAACCCAUGACGAACAGCAUGAGCAUGACCAGCUAACUUCAUUGCUGAGUACGACAUGUGGUUAUCCUUGCUAUAACUAAUGUUGGUCAGAAGAAGAAGCUGCUAUAAAGUUGUUCUGAAGACGCUGAGUUCUAGGCGUACGCAAGCCCCGGUUGAUUGCCUGCGAGGUUUGGAACCUUCGUUUCCAGGAUAAAGCUGUAAAUCUCUGAUAGACUCUCUUUAUAUCUCUUUAUGUGAUACUAUUACUGUUAUUCACUGAUGAUGUGACUAUAUGUAUGAAACUUGAUCAUGUCAUACAUACAGUUAGCACUUGGUUUUGCUGUUCUAAAAUCAGAUGUGACACCUACGAACCCAUGACGAACAGCAUGAGCGUAACCAGCUAACUUCAUUGCUGCUGCCUUUCGUAGAUGUUGGUGAACAUGACGUGUCUUUCAUCUCCACGAUGGCGACGGAUCCAAAGAUCGAAGAACAUGCAUCAACGCGAUCCGUAUGGCGUGUUUUCUGGUAUUUCCACCCCAUGAUGUAACGCCGACCAGGUUCCAUACGAGGCCUACGGCCACUCUGUUCACUUUCAUCACGUGCUCCGAUGAGAGUUCAUCACCGUGAUAAAAGACGGAGAUGAGGGCACACAGUCGUAGCUGCAAGUAAGGCCAACAGGCUCAAGGCCAUGGCUUUACAGCCAGCAGUCUUGCCUUGCAUGCACUCACGGACUAUUACCGGACUAGCAAUUGGUACUUUGACGCACUACAUGGACCCUUACAAAUUAAAAAAAUGAACGUCAACAAGCAAAUGAAACUGCAUGAACUGAAGUAGGGAAAUGAAGACCACGUACAGUUCUUAUUGAAGCUGAAAUGUAUGUCAUAAAAGUAUUAUUGUUAGAUUAAAGUCAAUUUAAAUAUUUAAACGAGUAACGAGGGCUCUGAUUAGUAGCAGGUGUAGUGAGGCCCUCCAAUAGACCAAUCAACGAUUUUUAGUUCCAACUGUUUAUAUGGUAAGUUCGGAUAUUUAAUUAAUAAAUUGAAGUUGCCUUAAAAUAUGCAUAGUAAAUCACAAGACCAAAGUGGAAUAACCAUUAGACAACUAAUAAAACCAUCUUUAAGUUUUUCUCUACUUUUAGCAAUAUUGCUUAGGUUUUCUAUUUCGUCUAAAUAUAUCUUAAGCGGCUCAUAUGUCCGAAUUACCCACACAGUGAAUAAAUGUCAUUCCAGUUCAAGGAUUCAUGUGCAGUUGUCACACACUAGUGUGAACCCAUCAAGUGUGUGUCUUGCUUCCCUUUUCAAUCAACAAGCUACCUCCCUGAUUUGAAUAUAAUAAACUUAAAUGCUUCAGUUUCUAUGGUCCAUUGUUAUGUGAUGGAUAUGAAAAAUGAAAAAUAUAGCCUACAAUGUUCAAAAUGCAUCUGAAGUACUAGGGUAUAAAAUAAGCUCACUGCCAUCCAAGUACAAGGGUUAACAACUAGAAAUAUAACCUUUAUUGCUAUCUGUAAAGAAAAUAUGCCUGUUGAAUUACAUGUUCGGGAAAGGUGAAUGCACGGAUUGAUGGCUACUAUUAGCUAAUGUUGUUGUCUUUUUUGUUAAUAACUAGGUUUCCAAUGCCAAACUCUGCGUAAGGGUUCAGCAACUGGCUACAUAUUGGAAAGGAGUUAGUGUUGGUGGCUAGCCCUCAUUAGAGAUAACUAUUUCAUCCCUGAUGCCUUCCAUGCCUAUGGAUGUACCGCGUGCUCGAGUAAGCUAUGCUUGCAGAUGGAUCUUAAACCUGGUGUCAAAUUGUGGAUAAUUGAAAGAGUUUGCUGUUUGCCUGCUUUAGGGAAGAUGGGUAGCACGUUUAUAUGCCAUUAUUUCUCAUGAAAGCGUGCAUAUACCAUGUUUGUCGGAGCAAGAUGAGGCUGUAGAGUAGUAGACGUGUAGAACAAUGAUACAGGUUGUAUGAAUAAUUUAUCGAAGGGGAUCAUAGACGCCACAGCCACUGAAGCUGUUGAGGCAUGAUUAGUCAAUGGUCUAAUUCCUGAUAUCUCCGUAUCCUGAUUCUCUGAAGCCUUACGGACUCUACCCUCAUCACUUCAUGUAUAUUAGUGUUUAUAAUAGCGGUUUUAUAACAAGUGCUGAAGGUAUUGGUCCUGCUAUAUCUUGCUUCCACUACCGGAUUUGUGUACAAAAUAUUAAUUCUUGAGAUUUGUCAAUGAUUUUAGGAAGCAAUGAUACCUUCAACUACCGGAUUGCAUAUAUAAGUUAGUCUUAGCCAGUUAUAUAUCAGAGGAGGAAGCACGCAUUAAAUAAUAAAUAACUCAUGUUGAUUCAACUGGUAACCUGGCCUAUGUCACUCGGAUACACCGUUUCUCUGAGGUGUUCCAGGAGGCAUAAGUUGUGGAACAAUUCCGCAACUCUUUAGAUGAUUGCUAAACUCAUCAGAUCGUAAGGCCUUAAUUUUUUUGCGAUGCUGAUUUUCAACUUCAUUCUGAAAUUCCUUGAACUUUUCAAAGGUUUCGGACUUGUACCUCAUCAAGUAGACAUAGCCAUAUCUACUAAAAUCAUCAGUGAAAGUUAUGAAGUAUUGGAAUCCUCCUCUAACCUUCGUGCUCAUUGGUCCGCAUACAUCACUAUGUACGAGUUUCAACAAGUCUACUGCUCUCUCAGGAAAUCUUGUGAAAGGUGUCUUGGUCAUCUUGCCUAGCAAGCAAGCCUCACAUAUCUCGUAUGAUUCAAAAUCAAACGAAGUUAGAAGUCCAUCAGAAUGGAGCUUUUUCAUGCGCUUUUCACUUAUAUGACCCAAAUGACAAUGCCACAAGUAGGUAGGACUCAAAUCAUUAGGCCGAGGCCUUUUAGCACUUACGUUACAGACAGGUGAACCAUGAAGAUUUAAAACAAAUAAUCCAUUCACAAUGGGCGCAAAAGCCAUAAACAUAUCAUUCUUAGAGAUCACACAACCAUUGUUUUCACUCGCAAAUCAAUAACCAUCCUUCAUCAAGCAUGAAGGAGACAAAAUGUUUCGACUUAAGCUAGGAAUGAAAUAACAAUUAUUCAACUCCAUAAUAAAUCCUGACAGGAGGUGGAGUUGCAUCGUCCCGACGGUCAACGCAGCAACUUCUUGCAUUAUUGCCCACGCGGAAAUCAACUUCUCCUCUUUCCACACUUCUACUUCUUAUCAUUCCCUGCAUCGAAUUGCAAAUAUGAGCAACCGAUCUGGUAUCAAAUACCCAAGAAUUAAUAAUUAUCUAUAACAUUAACAACAAGCGUACCUGAGGUAGAAGUAUUCUUACUUCCACCAUUCUUCAACGAAGCUAGGUAUUGCUUGCAGUUUCUCUUCCAGUGACCAGGUUCGUGACAAUAAAAGCACUCUUUGUCUGGAGUAGGCCCAGCUUUAGCCUUGGGCGCUGGGUUUGGCUUAGACACUCCAGCCUUACCCUUCUUCUUCCAAAAAUUGCCCUUCUUAUUGAAGGUAGGCUUGUUCUGUACAGCCAUCACAUGGUUGGUACUAGCGCUUUUCUUAAUGUCUACCUCUGCUGUCUUGAGCAUACCAUAUAGUAUAUUCAGACCCUUCUCCGUCCCAUGCAUAUGGUAGUUCGAGAUGAAGUUCCCAUAGCUAGGCGGAAGAGAUGAAAGAAUGAAGUCAGUGGCCAACUCUUUGCCCAUUGGGAAGCCCAUCUUCUCCAAUCGCUGAGUGUAACCAACCAUCUUGAUUACAUUUGGUCCUACUGCUGCGCCUUCUGCUAGCUUGCACUCCAGAAAGGCUUUGGACACAUUGAACCUUUCAGUCCUAGCCUGUGUCUAGAACAUGUCCUUGAGCGCCACGAUCAUAUCGUGUGCCUCAUGAUUUGUUUCGAACUGCAUCUGCAGCUCGGGUUCCAUGCAAGCAAGCAUAAGGCAGCUUACCUCAAGAUUAGCAUCAAAUGCCUUCUUGUAAGCAGCCUUAACGGCAGCAGAUGAAUCAUCAGCAGGUACUGGUGGUAGUGGGGUGUCUAGAACAUCUUCCUUUUUAUCGGCCCUGAGAACAAUUCUCAGGUUACGGAUCCAAUCCGAGUAGUUUGUUCCAUUCAACUUGUCCUCUCAAGGACCGAACGCAAAGCAAAUGGUGUGGUGUUGCUAGGUGCCAUUUAAUCUACAACAAAAGUAAUGCAAAAUACACUAAGACAAACAUAUCCAUGAUAGAGCAAAUCACAUUAAACUAUGUUAACAGAAUCUACUCCCACUAAAAUCAAUAUCCCUCUAUUGAUACUUAGUGAUUCAGGAUCCACAACUAACAAGUCUACUAGUGAGCUUUAGCAUCACCGCUAGCAAACAAAGUAGAUCGGUAAGCAACUUUUCCUAAUCAUAUCACAUAUGACUCCUGUUGUUGGGUGACAUCUCCAUGUCUCGGCGCCCAACCUUUAUGCCCCAAGGUCCUUAAACGUUAAGUUAACCUUGUUAAGCAAACCAACCCUUAUGCAUGUAAGUGUGCGACACAAACCCGUCUAAUCAAGAAAAACUAGUGGCACCCUAAUUUCAUAGACCCACCACUAAUUGUACAAGACAUGGGACGGUGCAAGUUUUAGUUGGGAGGGCAUACUAACUUAAACUUUGUGAGGGAUCGUUCUACUUCUAACAUCACAGCAUGCAGAAAGUAAAACAUAAACAGAAUAGCAUUCACACAGUUGUGACACAGUAUGGCCCGUUUUCUUAUGGUGAUCUUCAUCUCCAUAGAACCUGUUCACCAUGGUGAUCUCCAUCUCCAUGUUCCAUGUGCGCCAUCCUCUUGGUGAUGAGUCCUCCAAGAACUAGAACAUGCUAUUACGCCUAAUAGCUAGUAAAAAGCUAGUAAUGAAGAUUACAUAGUUGGUUGGAUCAUCACAGAUUGGUACGCAGACCAUUAAAUACAUUAAGGUGACAACACAUAUGGCUCCUGCCGUGUUGCCGUACGCACGACACGCAGGUCACGAAUGAGUUACACACAUGCAUCACAUACACAAAGGGGCCAUACUGAUCACAAGAUACAUACAUCUUGCAAAACAGAGUUAAGCGUCCUAACGUUCCAAACUUUGGAGGCCCGAAACUCCAUCUUCCAAGACAAAUUUGGGAAAUCUAAUUUCGCCGAAAAUGGCGAAGCGGUCGAAUUUCAUGUGUAACUUUUUCUGUAGAUCAAUUUUUAUAUAAAAUUCGCCCCGAUCCGAGAUCGUAUCGAAAAGUUACGGCUGAUUUACCGAAGCAUACGCACACGGCAAAAUCCCGACCCCGGCAGUAGAUCCCAUCUACUAUUGCACAUCUCAUGUGCCUGGCGUAUGAACCUAGAUUUCGAUUCGACCAAUCACAUUGAUCUUCGCACACUGCAACUGGAAUUACGUGUAUCACCUAACUCCGAUGGUGGAAACCCGACCGGUAGGAGUAUGUCGUUACACUACCAUAGCAGCAAGAACAGGAAACCAGGACAGAGAUCAAAUUGAAAACUCGCAUAUCUCCAUAUGCACACAUCCCGAAUCCAAAACUAAACAGCUACGGCUCUGAUACCACUGUCGGGAUACGAGGUAGGCUACACUAGCGCAAAUCAAAAAUUUUCUACCGCGUAAACCAGGGAAACUGCCGUAUAAGGAUCACGGGAUUACCACUCGACGCACUACUAGUGCGGAAGAUGUAGAUUCACGUCGAUGCAGCGAAGUCGAUCAACGUAGUCGUACGUAGUCGAUCACGUCGACGUCCAACAGCUCCUCAGCAGCUCGUCCACGUGCAGCAAGAUCUCCCUCGUGCCGCGGCUUGUCGGCGGCUCGUCACGGCUCGUCGGCGGCUCGUCCAAGUGCUGCAGGCGCAACACCUCCAAGGUAUCCACACGUGCAGGGAGGAAGCGUCACAAGCCGGACUGCUAGAUCCGUGAGUUGCAACAGGCGUGGGAGGCGCGGCUGAUGAGUUUCGUCAAAAAGGUGUAAACCUUAGGGCGCCCCCACCCCUCUAUUUAUAGAGGUUCCUAACGGGCCUCUGGGUCCAAGGCCCAUUAGUACUUCUAAACCUAAUCCAACUCGGAUCACAUCCGAAUUGGGCUUCCAGCCCCUUAAGUGUGUGACCCUAUGGGUUCGGAUACGUAUAGACAUGGCCCGAGUACUCUUACUCGGCCCAAUAGUCGGUAGCGGCCUCUAGCAAGACGUGCCAACUCCUAUAUGCACACGAAGAUCAUAUCAGACGAACCAUCACAACAUUAUAUACAUGCUAUUCCCUUUGCCUCACAAUAUUUGGUCUAGCUUCAAGCCGACCGCUCUUUCUCGAUCCUAUGAUUCGGAAUCCCUUUGUAGGUUAACUCUUAACCGUACGUAGCAUGGCCAUGCAUUUUUGGAUCCGAUCACUCGAGGGGCCCAGAGAUAUCACUCUCAAUCAGAGAGGGGAAAAUCCCAUCUUGAUUAACCAUGUCUCAUAGCAUGCUUCUUGACAAACCCGAAAGCUACCUUUAUAACUACCCUGUUACGGCGUAGCGUUUGAUAGCCUCUAAGUAGGUCGAUCCACAUCUUGAAUACAUGCGACAAUCUCAGGUCUAAGGACAAAGCGUAUAUGAUGUUUAAAGAGAGAACUACUUCUCAUGUUGGGUCAGUCCUAGCACAUGUCUCCACAUGAACCCACAUUAUUAGUUCAACAUCUCCAUGUCCAUGACUUGUGAAACAUAGUCAUCAACUAAUACAUGUGCUAGUCUAAUAUUCAUGUGUGUCCUCACAUGAACUCCGACUAGGGACAACUUUAGAAUAACCAUACAAGUAAAGAGUUUCACACACAAUUCAUGUAAUUGCAAAUCAAUUCAAGUAGUCUUUAAUGGAUAUUCAAGGAACACAAAAUAAAUCAUGGAUACAAAUGGAAUAUCAUCAUCUCUAUGAUUGCCUCUAGGGCAUACCUCCAACAAUUUGCAGGGUCAUGCACCAUGCGUGCGGCGACCCAUCCAUCGGACAGCGCAUGGCAUUGCACAAGACGUACUGGGAGGAUAUGCAGUGGAAUGAGCCAGACAGGUACUACGCCCUCCUCGCUCUGCUAGUUGGUGUGGGGAACCUGGAGGCCUGCACCAUCAAAGGGAUUGUAGAUUUCUUCGCCGUCCCCCGGCCAUCCCUCCAAAAGCUUUCCCGCACCACACCGGGUGGGCAUGAUAUGAGGGCCUAUCUUUACGCCCUGAUGAUAUACAGGAACAACAGUGCAAUCAUGGACGAUGACAUUGCGAAGAGAUAAAUCUACCACGUCGAAUGCAAGGAUGGUUCGGCAGUGAGCGGGAGCACAAGCUCAAAGAAGCUGCGCAACGAUGCCUGUCAGGUGUGCCGCGAGGAGGCCGCCUACCUAGUCAAUAGAGUUACAUGGGGCGGGCAUGGUGAUCCGCUUUCACCGGCACCAGUUUGAGGCGACUUCCCUUGCAUUGGAGGCGACUGCGGCAAGGUUAAGGGCUGGGAACAAGCUACGCUUUAUUGCAACGAGGACUAUAGGAUACGCCAUGAAAUUGUAGCGUUCAAAAGGAGAAUGGAGAUCGAUAACUAAUUGUAGGAUUUCUUUUGCUUUUGCCUAAUGUUGUCCAUGACUCGUUGGCUGAACUUGUAGUGCUGGAACUAUGUUUGUGGUUAAUUUGGCUCAACUUGUAGUCACUACAAGGUUUUGUCUAUCCAAUGGAGUUGUAUUUUCGCAAUGUGUUUUUGUGUCUAAGCACACCUUACACCUCCCUACAUAUAGGUGUUAUGAUGCACAUAUAAAAAGAACCCACACUUGGGUACCUUCAUUUGUCCUUGGAUUUCAAUUGUGGGACCCACUACAUCCCGCUAGGUUGUGCCUCAAAUUUUUAGUACUAGUGCAAUGUUUCCUCCAUUCUUUUUUUCCUAAACCCUCAAAUAUAUCUCAGCCUCUACCCCACUUGCCCCCAAAACUGCGCUGGCUGCGUUAGGGGGGGCAACGGUUCCUCUCUGCCCAAGCGACUCCAUCCAUGGCAACUCCUCCUUCCAUGGCGACUCCUUCCAUGGCCGGCGAUGGAGAACCCAGCACACGACCAAGUACGGUCAGAGUCGAGGAAGCCGAUAUUGAAAACAAAUGUUACAGGUUCGCAUCCACCUUUAACGCCUUCUAGGUUAGGGCAGAAAAUUUCUACACAUUAAUUGCGUACAAUCGAUUUGAUGCUGCCUCAUUGGCGCAUGCUUUUAUAAAUCACAGAUCUGAUUACUACUGAUUAGUUUUUCGCAUAGCACUAGUAGUACUACAUCUUCAUUCAUUGAUGCAAGGGUUUUGAUAUCUAUGUGCACAUACAGAUCAGAGGAGUUGACAGGCUAGAUGGAUGUGGCAGGUAAUGGUACAGUGCCUGGGGGCAGAAGGACAAGAUGUGCGCCUGGUUAAGGUAAUAUUGAUAGCGCACAAUUAGACUUUGUCAGCUUGUGGGAUUACAAAGAUCAACUUCGAUAUGGUGCGUGGGACUACUACUACUACAAGAAGAGAAUAGGAAAUGCUGAUGCAUCUGUUCAGUCAAUUGGUUACCCCAAAGAUGUAGAGUGUAUGUUUCAGUACAUGGAUUCAUCUGAAGAAAGGAAACUAAGGUUGAUACUAUCAAAACAAGAAUUGGUUGGAGCUGUCAACAUUACACCCCUGAAACAACCAAGGGUGAAUGAGUCUGAUGAUGUUACUGAUGCUGAUACUAGUAAUGAUGAAUCACUUGAUGAAUACAAAGAUUGUCUUCAAGACCAAGACCUAGAUUGUGGUAUGUAUGCUGUUUGUACUACACUAUGCACAUGUGUCUAUAACUGUACAAUGUACUCACAUAGUUGUGUUGGUAACUUGCAGAUCUAUACGAUAACUACAGGGAAGAAAUAGUAAAAACAUACUCUAAAUGGUUAAGGCAGAAAGGCCUUAUGAGAGAUAUUUGUAAAUCCUUUUUCCUCUGAACUAAUUCUUAUUUUUGAUGAAAAUUGUACAAUCCUCUAAGUGCACUUGUUUUUUAUUUGUUCAGUGGCUUAUAAUAGAGGUCAAGCAAAGCUUACAGAAGUACGUGAUGAGAGCAAUAGUAGUAGCGCCACGCCACCAUCACAAUGGCCAGCACAUGCUAGGAAACCAAAGCAGACAACAGGUUCUAAAAGCUUCACACCUUCUGCAGUUUUUUAUGCUCUUAUUGUGCACGACUUAAUGUAAGUUUCUAUUUUUUGAUUGUAAGUAAGUGGCAAGAAAAUGGACCGAGGAUGCUUGAAAGGGCUAGCUGUGGUGGCCAAGAGAUCGAAGUCUGGCUCAUAGAAACUGAAAAUCAAAUUUUCCAAAAAUGUGGGUGGUCCCUGUGGAGAUAACAGACGUACCUUUGUGGAUGAGGUUGUUCUGUUUAUAAAGUAGAAGGCUCCAUUAAUUGGAGUUAGAAAUUGGAAAGAUGUGUGUCAGCAUGUCAAGGAUGAUAUCGUAGAAUCUGUAAUGGUAUGUCAAUGGCCACCUCAUCCUUCAUUAUAAUGUUACAUAUUAGUCUUGUUCCCUCUAUUUUCUUGGAAACAUAUAUUUUGAAUGUAGCAUACAUAACAAGUUUUCUUUCCCACUAGGAUCAUUGGGACCUUGAGACCACUGAGAGUCCGAACAAAAAGAUAUGGAAGGUUGCCAAUGAACGCUACAAAAGUUGGCGAUCUGUUUUGCAUUCUACAUACAAGGCAUACAACAAUUAUGAUGAGAGAAGGAGACAUAAGCCUGAAGACAUAGACAUUGUGAAGUGGCACUAUUUGAACAUGUACUUUGGAACUAAGGACUUCAAGGUACGCCCUCUUUUGUAAGUAAAAGAACACAAUCAUGAGUUCAACUUUUCAUCGCUAACCAUUACUUUACGGGAUGACUGUGUAGAGUAGGAGCAGCAUGAACUCUUUGAAUCGUAGCCAACUGAGAACAAAUCACUCGGGGGGUUCCAAACCUUUCUCGUAGUGGAGUUGGGAAAAGGUAAAGAUUUGUUUACUUAUUCUCAACUUUCAGUACAUUACACAAUGAUAUAUUAAUAGCGUUUAAUGUUGUAAUCAUAGAGAGAUCCAGUAACUGGCGAUGAGCCACCCCUUUUGGAACUUUGGAAGACUACUCAUACUAGGGAAGAAAGAUGGACAAAUCACCUAGCUGAAAGUAUUUAUGUGUGUACUGAGUGCUAAUUUGAUCAUAACAUUGAUUCGGCAUUACAAGCUAUUUUUUGGUAUGAAAACAUGACCAAAUUAAUGUUACAAUUAAUUGUUUCUUGCCAUCAGACAUGUACAUCUAGAAAAUUAUCUCAACACAAUCAGAUGAAGAAGACCAACAAGUCAUACUUCUGGACUUGCUAAGGAAGACCAAGUUUUCUAGGAAACGUACAGGGAAACAACAGGAGCCAAAUAUAGAAGGUCACGUGGCCAUGGUUACUUGUCGAAUCCAAAACGAAAGCAAGAAGCCCUUCAGGAGAGAAUGAUUCAGGAGAGAAUAGAGAGGCCCGAAGAACAAGAAUGUCAGUUACAGGAAAAAAUGCAAAAGCAUGAAGCUAAAAAGGAAGCAGAGAUAGAACAACUUAAAGUUGCACUUAGCCAAGAAUUGAUGGGGGAAGUUGCUAGAAUGAUCGCGCCUUAUCGUCAGGCUUUACUGCAAGAGGUAACCAGAAUAUAAUUUGUGCAUGUUGAUUUAUAUUGUGUUCUAAAUUUUCAUAAUGUCACUAAUGUCUAGCCUCCCCUCUUUUAAAAUCCGCAGCGUACCCCAGCAAACAACAAUAAUACAACUGAAGUUGAUGCUAGGACCACCGAGGAUAACAUUGAUGCAAGGCCAGUACUGGACAGCCAAGAAAUAAGGAACCAUGUAUCGACAAUAAUUGGUUGUGAUUGAAAAUAUAUAUACAUAUGUCGCUAAUCUCUUGCCUACCCGCUUUUAAAUUGUGCAGCAUACCCCUCAAACCAACAAUAAAACAACUGAUGAUGAAGCUGGGAGCACUGAGGAAAACCUUGCUGCAACACAAGUAGUGCAUAGUCAAGAAACAUCAAACCAGGUAACAAUAUCGAACAAGCAUUCCAAUCAUGAUGGUUUUUUGCAUUAAAUUUCAGCUAAAAUUGUUCCAAAAACUUUAUUAUGAUCCAGAAUGCUCCAAGAACGAUUGUCACAACUGAAAAAAGCACUUUGGCACCAACCAGAAAUGCUAAAACUGCCAACGUUGCAAAGAGUCUGUUCAAUGAGAAUCACGGUAAAGGUGUAGGAGCUGUUGCAGGAUCCAGAUUCAUUAGUACACAUCAGCUUAUAUCUGGUGCUAAAACUCGAGCAGGCAAAAAGAAAGUACAACAAGUACAAACUGGAAGUGUGCUUUCAAUAUUGCUGCAUAUUGAUUCCAAGACAAAGUAGCUUCAUAAGUUUUAAUUCACUUGUUUGUUUCUCUUUGCUUCAGCAGGCUAGUGAAGCUACGGAGGGGCAAUAAGACUCAAGGUUGCCUACAGGUUACAAGCAGAACUUCAAGCAAAGUUGAUCAUCAUGAAUGCUGGGAGUGAUCAAGAUUAUAGAUGUGUACGAAUAAUAUAGGUGUUCUACAUACUUUAUUAUUGGGAGUCAUGUGGAUGAAUGGACAAGAAUAUUUUCCGUUGUAUUAAAAAAUAUGACGACGACAUAUUUCCCGUUGCAAUAUCCAUUGAGCGUAUAACCACGACCCGUAUUGUGUUGCACUAUCCUGUACGCAUAUAACCACGACAUAUUUUGAUGCGAUAUGGUUGAUGCAUAUAACGACGGCACAUACCUCGUUGUGAUACCUCGUGAGCAUAUUACAACGCUUUCUCAUCAUUGCGAUAUCCAUUGAGCGUAUAACCAUGACCCGUAUUGUGUUGCAAUAUCCUGUAUGCAUAUAACCAUGAUAUAUUUUGUUGCGAUAUGGUUGAAGCAUAUAACGACAGCACAUACCUCGUUGCGAUACCUUGUAAGCAUAUUACAAUGCUUUCUCGUCGUUGCGAUAUAAUUUAAGCAUAUAACGAUGACCCAUAUUUCGUUGCGAUACCCUUUAAGCAUGUUGCAAUGCCAUAUUUUGUUGGAAUAUGGUUGACGCAUAUAGCCAUGACUAGUAUUUCGUUGAGAUAUCCUCUUAGCAUAUUGCAAUAGGAUAAGUCUUGUAUUGCAACAACAUUCUUGUGUUGCAUUAACGCUUGUUUGCAACAGCGCAAUGUCAUUGCAACAGCCACUAUAGCAACGACGCCUGCCGUUGCAAUUAACAAAAUUGCAACGACAAUGGACGUUGUAAUAUCCACUUAUUACUACGACACACAUCGUUGCAACAACUCACCCUUAUGCCCAAGGCUUCCUGUGUCAUUGUAAUACCCUAUUACAACGCAAGUUUACGCAACGACAUGAAUUUUAAGGCAACGACACAAAAUUAUCGCAAUAGCUCGCUAUUGCAAUGAAAUGACCCCUAUUGCAAUGAUUUCGUGCUGUGGUGCUAGUGACAAGACCUUGUAGUGAAUGAUUUGGCUGCUAGCGUCACUUGACCUACCCAACUCCCUCCGGGUUGGACGGUUGAGUGGGAUUCCUCCUCAGACGGCGAGGAUAGGGGUCAUUGAUGUCAUGAUCGGCUUCGUCAUGAUAUCGUGUAUCGACGUUUAGUUUCCGCAUGUUUUACUUCUUUGUUGUUUGAAACCGUGCAAACUCUGAUCUAAUAAAUUAUUGAUCUUUCUAUAAUAUGAACGGAAUGUUUUAAUCUCUGUAAGCACUAACCUUUGUGUGAGCAAUGCUUAUCGAUCCUGUAUAUGUGGUUUAUCAGAGGAAAUCCAACGGUCGACUAAGUUGACUUGUUUAAGGUGCUUGAUCGCGUGUUAGGUGACUUAAGUGCACUUUAGCCAGGUUAAUUUUAGGCCAUUCCGCCACAACAUGGAUACUUUUUCCUCUUGGUUGCAUCAACACCUUAUAGGUAACUCUGAGAUUCACCCACAGCUCGCUUGGUUAGCUAAGGGACCUUCUAGCAGAAUCGUGAAAUUCCAAGGCUACAAGAUAAAUGAUUAUACAUUUUACACGAGAGCCCAAGACCAAAAAAGCACGAACCAAAAUAGUGGUGUCCGCAUAGAUGUCAUUCACAGCACCGGUAGCAAGGACUCCUAUUAUGGUUUCAUAGAGGAGAUAUGGGAACUCGAAUACAGACCGCUGAACAUCCCUCUGUUUUGUUGCUAAUGGGUGAAGCUAACUGGCGUAACCAAAGAUCAGCAUGGAAUGACAAUAGUGGACCUGACCAAGACUGGAUACAAUGAUGAACCAUUCAUACUUGCCAAUGAUGUGCAUCAAAUUUUCUAUGUGAAGGACAUGUCUAGCAAACCAAAAAAAAUUCAGAAGAGCCAUGGAAGCCAAAGCGCCACAUAGUGCUUCUAGGUAAGAGAAAAAUCAUGGGAGUCAAAGAACAAAAUAGAGCAAUCAGAUCAUUAUGAUUAGUUUGAUGGCAUGCCUCCAUUCUCUAUUGAAGUUGACCCAAGCAUCAUGCCAAAGAAGAGGCUCCGUACUUACGCCAUGAUCAUGACCAAGGAACUUUCAUGAAGAAGUUUCUUAACGUUACAUUGUAAUGCACUAAAUAUGCUUCACCUUUAUGUAAAGUUACAUUGUAAAGUUCUAUGAUUUCAUGUACUACUUGAUACAAUUUUUAAUUUAAUGUAUCUAUGAUUUCAUGUGUGUUUAAAUUAGGUGAGGUGAAGAAUUAUUCAAGAUAUGUUUUUUGAUAUAUUUUUGCAUGUUUGAAAAAUAUAAAGUUUUUAUGUUUUUCUAUAACAAAGCCAGUUCAAAACAUAUAUUAAUUUGUAUGUUUAAAUUAGUUGAGGUAAAGAUUUAUUCGAUCAAUAUGAACAAUGUUAACCACAUACAUCAAUUGAAUUUUUCACACGUUGAAAUUAUUUAAUUGAAUAAUUUCUUGAUGAUAGUGAUGUAGUAAAAUAAUUAUUUUAUAAACUAAAAGAACUAGUAUAGAAUUAAUGACUCAUUCAAACUUAUUGUUAAUAUACUUGCUAAUUUAAUAUAGUUUUGCAUGUUCCAAAUAUAUAAAGUUCUUAUUUUUUCCUUCCUAAAAUCCAGUGAAAACAUAUAUAAAAUCUAUUUGCAAAAAACAGGCGAGAACUGAAAAAUGGAAAACGAAUCUUUUGUCCUAGAUGCAAAUUGCAUCUAGGACAAAAUGUCCCCCCUUUAGGCCCGGUUGCAAUUUGCAACUAGGAUAAAAGGGUAAUUUUCGCCUCCCACGCGAACGUACCCUUUUGUCCUGGUUGUAAAUUGCAACCGGGACUAAAGGGGGGGCCUUUUGUCCGGUUGCAAUUGGCACCCAGGACAAAAGGACCCUUUAGUCCAGGUUGCAAUUUGCAACCGGGAUAAAAAGGGUCGUAAAAGUAACAUUCAUCUUCUCCCCCCUCCACCCUUCAACACUUAGCGAAAUUUUCACCACUCUCCAAGAUCUACCGCGCCCGUCCGCCUCUGAUGCCGCCAGUCUCUCAUCCCCGCCCGUCCGCCUCCAUCGCCGGCCGCCGUGCUACUCAUCACCCGCCUCCAUCCCACCGUCGCCCAGCGCCUCGGCCGCUGUCGCCUGCGCCACGACUGCCGCCUCCUCCAUCGCCCGACCCGCCACCGCCUCCUCCGUCGCACCCUCUCGUCGCCGCCGCCUCCGGUGCGCCCCCUCAUUGUCACCUCCCUCUGCGCCGCCUCUGUGGUGAAACCGCCCAACUUAAGCUGGUUUAAGUGCACCUAAUCGCUGUCGGGACAACAAUUAUUCGAAACACACCUAAAACAGCAUAAGUCCAGUAGUCCGUCGAGUGUCCCUAGGACUCCUCGAAAGAUCCACGACGUGUCUCAUAGCCAUACACCAGGAUCGCUUCCUCGAUGGGAAGGCAUCAACAAACAUUACAUUUUUACAUACAUACCGGGGUACGAAUUAUUACAUACCAUAGUUUGAAACAAACUUCAUAGUGCAGGUUAGCGCGGUUCUAAGAGUUCAAAACAUGAACCAGUCUAGGUGAAAGAUAAACAUUUAAGUUUUAUUUCUAGGGUAUUUCGAGACUCGUAAAAUACCCUAGUUCUUCGGAGCUUCUUCCUCAGCGGACUCCUGUUGUGGCUCUGAAAUAGCAACGAGGGAUAACCCUGAGUAUAGGGUACUCAGCAAGACUAACCCGACUAACCAAUAUAAUAGCUUUUCUGGAAUUGCAUGAAAGCCUUUCAGUGUACUGGCUGACUCAUAGUUUUGCCAAAAGAGCUUACUAAAGUGAAACCUUAACUUUGUCUUUUACUUCAAUUGAGUUAUUACCUAUCCAAUCUAGAUAAUGAAAAAGAAAUACUUUUGCAAACAGUAGGAAAUUAAGUCAUACAACAAAUUAAUUGGAAAGACAUUGCAUUCAUGAGAUUACACUACGAUGCUUAACAGCGAUCUAGUGCAUUCAUAACCGAGAAUUGUGGCGAUCCGGAUCAAUUACAUCCUGUAGGAGAGCACCCUGAUCACCAGCUAUGUACAACUGUCCGGGUCGUACAUAACGACCUUUCGAUUAGCAUACCCAAAGAUUGGGAAUAAGACUACCCGAACCCAGGGAUGCACCCCCACAUGGGACCCCCUGUCUGGCCCGAUCUCCAUGUGAGUUUUUAGGCUAUGCCCCUGCCAAUCUCCAGCACGUCAAGCACGGGUACGAAAUAUUCCGGAUCAGAGAGUUUACUAAACUACCGGGCUUUACUGGUCCCAUACCCAGUAAGCAACCAGGUGACAUUCACUUGAUCAAAGGUUAAGACAACGAUCGGGCCUUAACCAAAUUAAUCUAGCAGACAGAACUAACAUCUCUAGCUUCUAUCGGAUUUCCAAAUUUCCAAGCUAACUUUCCAUAUCUAGCAUGUAUGACCCAACAAUUUACCUUAAGGUUCGGUAACCAAGUUACUUUCAGUAUCUAAGCAUUGCUAAAGCAUGGGUUAAUUACUAAUUAUUGAACAAGUGGCAAAGAUGUCCUUAAAACAAGGCAGGAUCAUGCACAAGAAUAGGUUUCAAUCAACUCCUAGACUUAAUGCAUUGAUAAAAGAAAUAACCAAUAAUUGAACACAUGAAAUAAUAACUCCAAAACAGAUAGGUAUAGAUGCACCGGGGUUUGCCUGGGAUCAACAAAUGUUAGUUCUUCGGAAAACCCCUUUAGUAAAAGAGGCACUUCAACAUUUCUCGGACUCUGUCAAUCUUCAGAUGAAUUCCACGAAUUCCACUUCAGAAGCUUCGAUGUCUAUGAUUUAGUACAUGCAGGAGUUAGAGACGCAAACUUUUGAAUACAUGACUAUACAACUUUCCUUCAUGAUAAAGUUGCAAGCCAACAAGUGACUAUACAACCUAUCUUCACAAUAAAGUUGCAAGCCAACACUAAUCUACCCAUAACAUCUAACCCACGAUUUUUUAAUCUCUUAACUAACCUGCCUUAAGCCCUUUCUUUUAUUUUAGAAAAGCAUUACAAAUAUUUUCUAAUCUCAAAAGUUAUUUCCUAUGAUUUAAUAAUAAUUUGUGAAUAAGAAAACAUUAUUCAAUAUUUUAUGCAUUUAAUAAAGGUUAAGCAUUUAUUUAAAUACCUUAAUGAAAAGGCAUUAAAUAAAUACCUAAAUUUUAUUAUUUUUCCUAGGGUAUAAAAAUUUGAAUGCAUAAAGGAAAAUAAAAUAAUCCUAACAAAAUUGGUCUCACUAAUUUUGGACACUCCUAGAAAUUUCUGUGAUUUAAACGGUGUAAACCGAAUUUUAAUGUUCUUUAUCUAUAAAAGGAAAACCUAAUGUUUAUCCAAAUAACCCCGGCCUAACCUUUCUCACUCGUACUAGGCCCGUUAAGCUGGCCCACCUACUCCCGGUCUCUACCUUAUUCUACUCGCCGGCCCAACGAGCGCCCAAACUCUAACGAGCCUCCUUACGACCGGCCUGCUCUCCGCACAGGCCAACAGCCCAACUUCCUCCUCCCUACCCAUGCCUGACGCAAGGGCCUUUUUUUUUUGGGGCCAGCCCACCCCGUUUCUUUCCCCCUUCACUUCCACCUGGGCCUCCAACCGACAAGCCCCUCUCCUCCUCUCAACUCCCCUGGCGCAUAGGCCAGAACAGGGGCGCGACAGGCAGGGGGCGGGGCUCGCCGACGGUGCCUCCCCGGCGGCGUGGCCGGGCUGGGGGCAUCCUGAAACCGGGGCGCACCCACGGGCGGUGGCGGCCCUCCAGGAGGCGGCCUGUGCCGAGCCCUCCACGGUGGCGGCGGCAAAGGCCGGCUGCCGGCCGGCGCAAAGCCCGACGGUGGCGCAAAAACGGCCUUCGGUGCCCCCCCCUAUGGACCCUAUUCGACUCAGCAAGCUCUGCAACCCAAGGAAUCGAGCAAAAGGGGCAUCACAGAGAGGCUCACCAAAGAACUAUGGUGGCGGCUGGCGGAUUAAAAUGGUGGCGAUUCGGAGCUUUGACGAUGAGGAAACAGAAAUCGGAGGGGCGUGGGCGUUGCGGUGGGGCUAGCGAAGCGUCUGGCGGGCGGAUUCGCGAAGAGAAGUGACGGAGCGAGGGUGUUGGCCAGCGGCGGCGUUGCUUUCCCGAGCUUUGGCUCGCAUGGCAGUAGAAAUGGCAAAGGGUUAAAUGGGAUGAGGGUGAGGUGGUAAAGAUACAUAACUUUUACCGUGCAUGUGUGCCACCUCGAUGACCUGCAGGCCUGCGUGGGCGCGGACGUGGUUGUUGCGCUGGUCGACGAGCAGAGGUGCCGGCGGCGGCACGGCUCUGUCCCCUAUUUCUUCUUUCUCUUCUUCGAAAUUCAGACCUCCACAUCGACCAAUUUCAAAUCCAAUCUCUCGAAGAUCCCUUCAGCAGUCUUGUAGAGUAAUCCAUGUACUUCAAUUGAUAGAUUGGCCGCUACCUGAAAUGAGCACCCUAACACCGAGAUUUUGAAGCUCAAAGUUUGACCAGAACCUUCUGUAACUGAACCUCGGUCAUUCAGUCUCGUCAAGGUCCAAAAUAGCAACUUCUUCCCUACUUUGAGCUCAAUUUAAAUUGCUUAAACUCCUUCCAUACAGCUUGAACCUUGCCUAUCCUUGUUCUACUACUGUUGGUGCUAGAAAUCGGCUGAUCGAAUUCCCAGCGUCGGACACACGACCCGGGAGAAUCUGCUUAGCUCCUGUUCGAGUGAUCACCCUGGUGCGGUUCGUGCAGCGUGCCAGCCAAUCUGACCUGUUGAUUGGCAAGGAAAGAAACGUGUCAGAUCCCAGAGGUUGCGAUCGGCUAAGGUUCCGAUCUCGAGAUAGCUUAUCAGUGAAUCGGCCGAUUUGCUGUAAUAAGGAAAUCGGCUAUAAUGCAGCCGAUUACCGGGCAGCGUUAAUAAAGAAGACUGCUGGAGUAAUCUAAACAAUGCUUAUAGUAACAACACUAGGAAUAGAUCUAAAUCGGCUAUGCGUAAAAUAAUAGAUUGAAUAACAAGGCACAGGAAAGCCGAAAGUUCCAAUUCCUAGCUGGAUAACUGGUGAUAAAACUAGAACUACAGGUAAAACCUAGAAUUCUAGUGGAUAUCGAUAACUGGUGAAUAAAUCUAAAUGAAACGACAGCGAUGCGCCCGAAGUUAAAGCUUAGAUAUUACUCGGUAAACGAAACUUACAGAAUCAGCCGGAGGUCAAGUUGAUGCAGCCUAGCCAACUCGUAUGAACUCGUGAAAAAGAAGAAAAGUAUUGGCGAAAUCGCCUGCUUGAAAGUAAGUGUGAGGAAAUAGUAGUUUGUUGUAUUGAUUUGAUGAUGAUUACAGAUCUACAAGGGUGGCUAUUUAUAGCCUGUUACAAAUGACUUCUUAACCGACUAGAACUCUAUCUCUAAUUUUAAACAAAAAAUGAAUAUUUACAAGUACGACUCGUACUGGGUCAAUCAUCAUGCUGUCAUGGGCUGACUCCCUUUUUACCUUCAUAAUCCACUUCAAGCCCACACCGGCCCAAUUCCUCCAGCCUCCUAAUCGGCCGAUUUCUACCAACUCCAUCGGCAAGGGACAGCCGAUUACGGCCCACAUGUCGGGGGUUCUGACUACUCCGACCCUGGGACCUAAGGUCGGGCGAGGUGGAGUCCCUCCCUUAGAGGGUCGGGCGCAUCCGACCCCAGGACUCAGGGGUCGGGCGAGGCGGAGUUGCACCCUUAAAGGGCAAUUGGCCAAUCCUUGACUGUAGCACCAAUCGGCCGAUUUCCAACCGUGACCUCUGUGUCUUGCCGCAUCUCCUGAGUUCUUCCUUUCCUGACGCCGAUUUCAUACGUGUCAAAAUAUGGCGUCAACAACUACUAACAAAGAUUCCAUUUUGCGCAUGAACUCAUAUACCUUUUACAUUGGAUUUUUCUUAAAUUUGCUCCAAACAUUGCUAAUCAAUGCCGUUUUUCAGACAACAUUAUUUCGGCAAGAAGCCUGAAAUCUGUGCAUUUGCUGAAUUUUGGGCUUCGCUUUAAAUUCGAACCUUCCACUUUCUCUGGCCAACAACAUUUCAUUUACCUUCUCUAUAGUCCAUAUUUCACUAAUGUCCAAAAACAUCUGCUCACUUACAAGAACAAUUCUCCAGAAAUUGGCUCCAAAGUUGUGUACUCAAUAUUAAUUUCAGAGUUACGCGUUUUCGGAUGACUAAGUGACUUUGUUGAUUCCAUAUUCGAUUGUAUUUAUGAGAGCUUUAUAACUUGAUUUAGACUUCAGAUUCAUUCCUUUGAGUUCUGAAUACUCUCAAGACUCUAUUUCCUAUUUUUGCCAAAUUUAUCCAAAUUUGAAACUCCAAAUUGCAAAUUUGGUUGAACUCGGCUCAAAUUCGAUUUUGGCUCAAAUUACCUUCCUUUAAUCCAACUUCACCAUUAGCUUCUUAAUGUGAUACUUAAGUUGUCAUUAACACUGGGUGUUACAGCCUCCUUGUCGCCCACCUCCGUCCCCGCCGCCUCCGUGCCCGCCAUCGCCCGCCGCUCUAGCCGCCGUUGCCUGCCGCCCUGGCCUACCGCCACCUCCUCCGUCGCGCCCCCUCAUUGCCACCUCCCUCUGCGCUGCCUCCUCAUCGCCGCCUCUCCAUCGCCACCUCCGUCGUCUGUGCCAGCUCCGACCCCGCUGCCACCGGCAUGCGCCGCCCCGACCUCCUCGUCUUCUGCAUUGCCACUCCAUCGCCCCGUCCGCCGUAGCUCGCCGCCAAGCCUCUGCCACCUGCCACCCCGGUGACGUGCGGCGCCACCCCCAUCGCGACCCCCGGCCCUCUCCACACGUACAAUGGGGCCCUUGCUGACGCUAGGGCCCUUUUUUAUUUUUUUAGUUAGAAAAUCAGUAUGAUUAGUACAAAAUCAGUAGGAAAUUACUAUUAUUAGAUGAAAAUCAGUAGGAAAUUACAAUAAUUUAGUUCAGAUGCUUAGUAUAAUUUUGUAUACAUUUUGUAUAACUUUGAGAAAUUACUACCUUUUAUUAUAAAUGAUUCGAAAAUUAGUAGAAAUUUGUAGCAAUGCUUAAGAUUUAUUCAGGAUAAGUUCUUAGUAUGAUUUUGUACACAUUUAGUAUAAUUUUUAGUACAUUAAUAUUAUUUAGUACAAAUGCUUCAAAAAUUAGUAAAAAUUAGUAGAAAUUUGGUAGAAAUUCUUAGAAAUCAGUAGAAGUUUGUAGAAAUUUGGUAGACAUUCUUAGAAAUCAUUAGAAAUUUGUAGAUACACUUCAAAUUUGGUACAAAUUCUUAGAAAUUAGUAGAAAUUUGAAGAAACACUUCAAAUUUGGUAGAAUUGCUUAAAAUUAGUAGGAAUUAGUAGAAAUUUGGUAGAAAUUCUUAGAAAUUAGUAGAAACACUUCAUGUAGGAUUCGUUCAAGACAUUUCAUGUAAGUUUCAUUCAAGACUUUCAUGUAACUUUCUUGUAAGUUUUCAUGUAAGUUUCAUUAAAGACAUUUCAUGUAUGUUUCAUUCAAGAUAUUCAUGUAAAUUUCUUGUAGGUUUUCAUGUAAGUUUCAUUAAAGACAUUUUAUGUAAGUUUCAUUCAAGACAUUCAUGUAAAUUUCUUGUAAGUUUCAUGUAAGUUUCAUUUCGUGUAUGGUUUCAUGUGUAGAUUUCAAUCAGUUUGUUUUUUUUUCAUGGUUGUUCUAUGAUUUCAUGUAUAUACCUUAACGUACAUGUAACUAUGAUUUCAUGUGUGUUUAACGUAGUUGAGAUGGCAGACGACAAGACCGCAAGCUAUCUAAUGGAGCAGAUUAUUGCUGAUGGUAGUGGCUCCAACCUUCCCGUAACGUACAUCGAUAAAGAGGGUACCUAGGCGAACAUGUUCCUCAACAUGUCUAGCGAUGGCAAUGAAGAGCCUCAGCCCUAGCAAAACCUUAUCGUGAUGGAAGGUUCCAGCGAGGUAUAUAUCAUUUCCAUUGUUUUACCCCAUCUAUAAUGUCUUAUUCAUUAUUAUUAUAUACUAAUUAACGAAUCUUGAACUGUUAGCCCUCUGGAUCGAUGAACCGUCAUAAGCCCCGAGGCCGUACAAAGGUGAUGGAUGGAGGGCUUAUCAUCAUGGAAGUCACAGAAGAGGGCAAGCCGGUUGCUCCCGAAAACAUGGCAAAAAAGUACGUGAGCCAGAUCGAGGCAAUCGUAAGGGACAACGUGCCCAUCAACAUCAUGGAAUGGAGGGGUGAAAGUACUAAUGCAUACGCGCUCUCGGAUACAGAAAAGGAAAUGUUGUGGUUAGAUGUUAAGAAACAUUUCACAUUUUCCCGAAGGAUGUAAUGAAGAUUAUGUGAAAUCGUGGAUGCUGAAGAAGAUGGCCACACAAGAAGGGCUGAUGUCCACAAUUCAAUGAGUGGUGAGGGACCACUGGGAGUCAUUUGUUGAAUACAAGACGAGCGAAACGGUGCGAACAAGGUUCGCACCAACUUUGUAAAUGCUGGCAAGAAGGAGUACCAUCAUUGUCUAGGGCGAGGUGGUUACAACACUACAAUUUCUAGAUGGCGCAAGAUGGAACAAGACCUGAUUGAUUGGGGUAUCCUACCAGCAACUCUUGAAUAUCCUGAUCGAUCGAAAAAUUGGUAUUACGCUCAUGGAGGCAACAUGAGCCAAGAGGAUGGGACACUGAUCUUCAAUGAGACAAUAUGUCAGAAGGCCAAAAGGCUUAUCAAGAACAUUGAAGAUGACACGGCUGGGAGUUGAAGGUGGACCGAGAGAAUAAUGAGCUAACAUUGGCCCAAGAAUCCCGAGCACCUAGGAUAUUGCCGAGGGUACGGGGUCAUUCUGUGGAAGUUCGCUUUUCGAGGCGACAUGUACUCAUACAGAAGCCGCAAGCGAAGAAAGGAAUAGCAAGAGGAGAGCUGGCGGCGCAUGUUAGAAUCCAAAGUGCAUUCACAUGAAGUAAGAAUGCAGGAGGAAAUCAAUCAUCGAGUGGCCCUAGCAGUUGCGAAGUUGGCCCAAUCUAGAGCACUACCGGAUCCAAACGUUAGAUGAGCAACGGUUCUUUGUGGCUGUGAUCACGCAACGCACCUCAUGUGAAUGGCAUAAACUGGUCGGCAACGUCACCAUUAAGGUAUACUUAUACAUAAUAAUUAUGCAAUCUUCUCAAUCCAUCCACGCCUCGGGAGUUUAAUAACUUCUUUAUUUCUACUAUAUGUACAAGUGGCAUACGAGAGUGCCUUACCAAUCCUGCCAGGGUAGACAAGCGAUGCCAUGGAGGUUCUACCUGGCUACGCUAGCGUCAGCCUAGAGCUGCUCGUUGAUAGCCAAUAUGAAGGCCUAGAGCUCGACCUCCCGGGAGGCGAUAGGGAAAGGACACUAGGAGAUGCGCUUCACGGGAUCAUUCUAUGGUGCAAAUGUUACAUCAUCAUCCCCGGCAUGGAGGCAUCAUUGCUCCCCGUAGAUCCCCAGCAGCGACCAUCUCCUCAAAGCUCAAGAUCGUCAUCUCCAACACGGCCUUCUCCAGGACCGUCAUCUCCACCACAACUUGCUCCAGAACCAUCAUCUCCAGCACAACCAGCUCCAGGACUGUCGUCACCACCGGGACCGUCUCUUCCUGCUCGAUCACGGUCUCCAUCUCCAGCACAUCCUAGUGGUGCGAGCGACGAUGACAAUAACACCCCUUCCCAAUCACCAUCUCCAGGACUAAGAGCUGCAUCGAGCAAGGAACCUGUAGCAACACUUAAGAAGUCGCAACCACCGCCUCCCAAGCCAAGACAGAGAAAGAAGAAAACAAACGAGCCUGAAUUGACUCCUGACAAAUGUAGGGAGGAGAAAAUGCAUGAGGAUUGCUGGCCCAAACCAAAGCAGAAUGCAGGGAGCGGUUCAAGAAAAUGGCCGAAGAAAGAAAAGCAAAGGCGAUGGAGCCACCGCCAGUAGAUUGAAGACAAUUAAAUUUUUUUAUAAAGAUGUCAGAAGAAGCCAAGAAGAUGCUGCCACCUUAAACUACGAUCGGGUGUUAGUCAAGGCUGAUGAGAGGAAAAAAUGGAAAGGAAAGUCGUCUUCAAGGGGUACUAUCCUCCACCUUAGACAUCUACCGAAAAAGACUCUCAAAAGAAAGCAUCAAUGCUAGCAAUGCCCUUGGAUCAAUAAGACCAAGUAGUGAAAUUCAUACAAGAAACAGGAAUGUCCUUUUCUGAAUGUCUAGGGCAAAGUGAGCCACCAGCUGCAUAGCCAGUUGAACCGAAAUGGACCUUUUGAGCUAGGCAAGUCUCUGGUAAGGCCUGAGUUGAUAUGGAAACUAUCAACAAAGAUGUACAAAUUCCAUGAAUGGUACAUCAAGCAGUCCAUCGUUGACAGGGAAAUAUUCGACCUUAAGGUCAAACCAAUAGCCUGGUUGACGUCUCUCUCAUCAGCGCUUGGGCUCUGCAAGUGUUCGUUUAUCUAUGUGUAAAUUUUGGCUCAUAUCAUUAUUUUUUGUGCAUGCAUCGCCCUGCUAACUUCGUCUUCCAUUUUAUGUAGGAUGCUAAUUCAGAUGUGCUGACGAGAAGUGUACUUCCAUGUUGGCUUCAUGGAUCCAUCCCUAGUUAACCAACACAAGAUAUGGGAUUUUCCAGAGAAAACGUUGAUGGAAGUAUACAAUUUCCUGGACAAACAAAAUUACAGCAAGGAAUACAUCCUACUUCUAUACAACUUCAAGUAAGUGUGUGUAUACCAUCUAUUUUUAUUUUCUUUUUCCUUACCUGAUUAAUGUUAGUUAGCUCUAAUAUGAACAAUUACGUACGCAGUUUCCACUGGAUCCUCCUAAUAAUUGAGCCUGAUAGAAGCCACAUCACUGUCUUCGAUUCAUUGAGGAAACCACCGAAGGAGUACCAAGAUGUUCAAGACAUGCUAAACUUAAUAAUUCUGGACUUUAUCUCUGUGCAAAAGUUUGUUUCCUAAAUUUUCACCUAACACUGUAUCAUUCAUUAACACAAAGGUCCAUUCAAAGAAAAACUUACAUGGAACACAAACUUCCUGGCAUGUAUGAAGUUUGCAUAUUUUGUACAUUAUAUAGCAUGAAUAUUUCAUAACUUGUUUUUCCCCACUGUAGUGCUUAAGACAGGAACUCAAAAAUAAUCUAUGUGGCUACUAUGUCUGUGAGCACAUGCAUAGUUUUUUGGGACACAAGGUACUAAAGAUGACGCCGCACAACUAUAACGUACGUAAAAGAAAACUAUUAAUAGUUAAAUAUUUUCUAGCUCCUUAUAUUUAAUUGUUCGUGUAACAUUCACAUAUUUCCAGAUUACAGAUGCAUAAUAUUCAACAAAAACUCUUGGAGAAGGAAAGAAUAAUGGCAAUAUAUGAAGGUCUCAUGGGAUUCCUGGUGGACGAGGGGGUACAUCAACAAGGAGAAUUUUAUUACAAUGGACGAAAAUUAGACGCACUGAGCAACACCACGACGGGAAGAUCCAAGGAAUGACUGAGGCAAAUUUUUGUAUAUAUAUAUAUACUAAUUGUAUAAAUACUAUGCUAAGAUUUGUAUAGUAUGCUAAGAAUUGUAUAUAUACUAAGAAUUGUAUAUAUAGUAAUUGUAUAAAUACUAGUUUGAUUUCAUAAUAAAAAAAGUCUUAACUAAACUAAAGGGUACGUGAUGCAUGAAAUUACAGGUGCCUGCCUGCAUGGCGCCUGUAAUUUCAUGCAUGCACUUUAGUCCCGGUAGAAAAAACCAACCGGGACUAAAGGGAGCACCCUUUACUCCCGGUUGGUAAAACCAAUGAGGACUAAAGGGGCCUGUCCCGCGCCUGGCGUGGCAGCCCCUUUAGUCCUGGUUGGUUUUACCAACCAGGAUUAAAGGGUGUCUUUAGUCCCAGUUGAGUGACCCGAGACUAAAGACCCCCCAUUCGUCUUGAUUGCUUUAUCCCGGAUGGAUUUUCGGGAAAUUUUAUCCCUACCAACCAGGACUAAAGGUGAGUUUUCUACCGGUGCCUGUUCUAUCUCACUCAUUUGUCCUGUAGCUACAAGCUAAGGCCCCAUGUCAUCUAUGGCUUCUGUCCUGUAGCUACUAGCUAAGCCCCCGUAUCAUCCAUGGCUUCUGGUGCCUCCACCACACUGAAGAUGGCCUCUAUCGCCCCUUGCAUCCUGCUGGUCCUGCUGUCCAAUGGCCACCCUACGAUGGUGGCCGUUGAUUGUGUUGCGGUUUGCAAAGACCCGUGCCAGAGCUUUUCUAACGGGUUCUGCGCGGGUGGAGCCACUGGCGGUUGCACAACUACGGCAGCAGCUACAGCAUGCCGCAAUUUGGCGUUCUCGCAGUGUGCGAACAACUGCUUCAUAGUUUGCACUGCCGAGAUCAUCACGCCUUGCACUUGAAGAUGCAUUUGUGUUCCUACUUCCAUGUUAUUGUUACUGCAGAAUAAUAUGGAUAAAUACGUGCAAGCAGGCCUGCCGUCCGCGGGAGGAGGUACGCAAGCACGCAUGAUGAGCCACUGUUGUUUUUCCAUUUUAUCAUUUACUUAUUGAAGGCAAUGUACGUGCCUAUCUCCUGUGUGGUUGAGCAUGUCAUGUUGGAAUUCUGUCCAAAGUUUUACAUACCAUCUUGUAUUGUUGUGUAUGCGUAUCAAUAUAAUUUAUGAACUAUUUU
RNAcentral lists this long non-coding RNA (48918 nucleotides) under Setaria viridis. RNAcentral describes it as "long non-coding RNA (SVIR_LNC003547)". The record is from RNAcentral. Lineage: Eukaryota; Viridiplantae; Streptophyta; Magnoliopsida; Poales; Poaceae.